AUAUCACCUUCUCUUUCACAAGAGUUGUCCUCACAUACGUACAAACCAUCACGGGAAGCCAAAGGACCACAAUCAAAAUCAUCUUCACAACGACAAUCACAACUCGAGUUUUCUAAAUAUUCAAGCAAAUCAAGAUCAUCUACGCUCGGUUGAUCAUUUUGCUCGCUCUCACUAGUUGUUGGAAAUUCACAUACCAACGUAGAAUCACCUUGUUUUUCACAAGGGUCAACUAGUAUGUGAAUACUCUUGUCACUUGGUAAUGGAACCUUAGUCAAGUUGUAAGUGCUAGCACCAGAUGGACACAAAUCAUUCUCACGAGGAGAAUCAAUUUCGUCAUCUAAAGGAUCAACUAGUGCUUGUGUACCUACAACAAGAGUUUGGUCCUCAUGUGACCUAACAAUAUCAAGAGUAUCACAAAAUGAAGACUCAUGCACUCCUGCACUGGGUAAAAUCGUAACUACGUUCAUAUGAGUGUAGGGGAUAAUAUUUUUACCUUGUAGCUCACAUGAGCUACGAUCUUCAUCUUGACGUGUUUCCGGGUAGCCCACUUGCUCCCUUGGAACUCCUAUAUGAUCCAACCUUUCAUUUAUCACUUUCCAUUGACGGGUAAUGACUUCAAGUUUAGCCAAAAUAGCACUUGCAGUUGCGGGUUCCAUCGUAAUUGGACCUAAAAAAAAUAAAAGAACAAGUCGACAAAAUAAAACACAAGUUAGUUUGAAACAACCUCACCACACUCUCACACACUUGAUCAUUUCACACUUGGAUUCACAAGUGUUGCAAGUCGGCUUGUAGUUCUUGAUGAGUCGAGGGGUGAGUCUACUCCUUGGUUAGAAUGGAUUCUUUGUUUGAAAACUCAAGGAAAUAAUGUCCAAACUUAAACCAAGAAAUUCUACGAUUCAAAAAUAUGAAAAGCACAAAAUAACGCUAACACGAACAAACGGGCACAAAAACUAACUAAUAAGCUAGUAGGAGAUUACUUGGUCGUCAAUUAGUGUUCAAACCAACAAACGAAACUAAGAAACAAUAAAAUAAAACUAAGAAAUCUAAAAGUUGAACUCAAAAUGUUGCGUGAACAGUAAUUUAGUGAUGUGGCAGUCCACUAUCGGCCUCGAUUUUGCCAAAAUUUUACUCUCUGAUUUCAAGUCUUGACCAAUCUAUAAUUUGAAAAUGGUGGAUUUGGUUAAUGGAGGGAAAUUUGGUCUUGGAGCUUCAUUUUCAAGUUCAAAACAAGACUUGACCUUCUUGGUACUUUCUCCUUGAAACAAGGUUCUUAAAUCAAGGAAAGUAGGUGAAAAAUGGUUGUUAAGUUUUUUGAGUGAUGUGAUCAAGUUUUUCACCAACAAGUACUACAACUUGGUCUUUCACCUUUUGUGGAUCUAAUGUUCACUUUUUUUUAACAAAAGAUCAAAAGGGUGAAGAACAACAAGAGCACAAUAACAACACCAAGAACAACAACAAUAUUCUCUAAGAACAACAACAAAUUCCAAUGCCCAAAUCCACAACAACAAGGCCUUCAACACGGUCAAGGCUUAGAAUGACAACAACAUCAAAUCAACCAUACUUUGUUCACAUUAACAACAUCAACAAGUUCAAGUUCAAGCUUAGAUUUGGACACUUUUUAGUGUUGGUGAGAAAGAAACCAACACUAGAAAAACUCUAAAAAAUAAAAGACUGCAAGAUCUAGUCACAAAGAAACAUGUCUCGGCCAAGAAAACAACAAGAACAACAACUUUCUCGGCCAAGAACAACAAGAAUAGGCAGAUUACUCAUUUUCUGGAUUUUUUUUCCAGUUUUUCAACUCUUUUUUUUUAUAUUUUAUUUCAACUCUCAAGCCCAAGAUUGAUCUUGUUAGAACAAAAUCAAAGAUGGUUUUGAUACCAAAUGAUACAAAAAUUACAAGGACAACACGAAACACACUUCAAAAUCAGUCCACAAGAUCAAAGAUCCGAGGACCCUUUUGAAGACCACACUCGGAUUCACCAAACAACAAUAAGGACUCAAUGUAUUGAUGUGGUUAUCACCUAAAAACAGCUAACAACAUACUAUGUUAACAACAACAAGAUGAAGAACAACAACAAUGGAAAAAUAACAACAAGUCACGGAUUUGAAUUACAAGAACACAAACAAACGAUUACAAUAUAAAUAAAAUGGAUAGAUAGUUAGACCUUGAUUGGUAUAAUAUCAAGAAUCCAACAAUAUGGUAAUCUUGGACCCUUAACACUACACACAACGGUUAACCUAACUCCUACGUUAACACAAGAGGAACUUUACCUCCUCUAAACACCAACAUCUCAAGCCAAUAUUGUAAUACAAGUGAUAUCCACACUUGUUGCCCUCAUUUCGGUGUGGUGGCUAUUCCAAGCCCUAUAAAUAAAGGUGUUUCAUGUUUCAAGUCUUACAUCAAUGAACAACUAAUGAGAAAAAGAUCUAAAAUAUUCUAUUUAUAUUCUAUUACAAGACAAGGCAAAAUAAUAACAAUGCCCUUAAAGGGUGGGGUGGCCAUGGAGUGCAUUUGGACCCAAUGAAGUGACCAAAAUACCCUUAAUGAAGAUGACCAAACCAUGACCCAUUAAGUGUUGUCCAAAACCGUGAGUCCUCAAGUCUUUGAUGCUCCAAUCAAUCUUCUACACACGGCCUUGCUUGUGCUCAAAACGGGUCUUUCUUGCAUAUUUUUGUGCCCUCAGGGUGACCAAGUCUUGAGCUUUUAAAUGAUGACCUCCAAUCAUGUCUUCAAAAAUUAAGGUGGUCAUUUGAAUUGUAUCACUUUUGAUGUGAUGAAAUUUUAAUCCACAAUUAUCAAAUACAUGUUAUUUAUGUACAACCUGUUAUAAAGCAAUAAAGAACAAAGAAGAAGAGUAGAAUAGAGAGUGUAAUUGUUAUUUCUUUUGAGGGAUGAUAUAAAAUGAAGGAAGCCCUUCUAUUUAUAGGGGAAAUUUUUUCCUGGUUUCACACUAAAAGACAGAUACAUCAAAUCCUGAUAGACAUCAAAUAGAUCUUGAUAGACAUUCACUAUAAUUGAUAUAUAUCAUAACACUCUCUCUUGAAUGUCUAACAAUACACAUAUAGUCUGCCUUAUUAAAAACCUUACAAGGAAAACUCAGUGGGACAAAACCUCGUAAAGGAAAAAGAGUACAACGCAUAUUAACUCCCCCUAAUGAGAACAUCCUUAACCUUUGCAUCCUGAUCUUGUGCACCAUCUUCUUGAAAGUUUCAAUUGGAGAAGAUUUGGUGAAUAAAUCAGCCACAUUAUCACUUGAACGAAUAUGUUGCACGUUAAUAUCACCAUUCUUUUAUAACUCACGUAUGUAGAAAAACUUUGAUAAAGUAUGCUUCAUUCUAUCUUCUUGCUUAAGAUGUGCUAUGCAUGCUGCAUUAUCUCUGUAUAAAACUGUGGAUAUAUUGUCACAUUUCAAACCCCAUUUUUCUCAAAUGAGAUAUAUCAUGGACCUCAAUUGUACAGAUUCUCGGCUAGCUUCAUGAAGAGCUAUUAUCUCAGUAUGAUUCGAUAAAGUGGCUGGAUAAACUGUUUUGUAUAUCUCCAAGAUAUGACAGUAUCCCCAUAUAUGAACACAUAGCCUAUUUGAGGUUGAGCUUUAUGUGGGUCAAAUAAGUACCCAACGUUAACAUGAUCAAUAAGAAUGAGACUACAAUCUUUAGAAUAAAAUAAACUCAUGUAUUUUAUCCUAUUUUGAUAUCUACUAGUUGGAGCAGAAAUAUGUCUUGCUUAACAAAUUGACUGAAAAGGCUAUAUCAGGCCUUAUAGUAUUUGCAAGAUGCACUAGUGCAUCACUUGCACUAGAAUAUGACAAUCUAUUGCUUUUGAAAACUCUCCAAGAGUUCCAAUAAUUUUCAAUUUAUAAGCUUAUACAAUAUAAGGAUUCUAAAUAAGUUUCCCAGAAACUUUUAUAUGCUUCAAAUAUUUUGAAUCCUUAGAAAAUGUUCAUUUAAAUUUUGUCAUGUGACAAUAUUCAACAUUCCAUAUGUGACAUCUUCAAGUGUUUGGACUACAAAUCAAAUAAGUUUCACGCUUAUCAAGAUGCAUCCUUUCAUGUCACUAGAUAAAUGUUUCUACGUAAGCAUGCUUAAAUUAACGUAGAUUCAGAUCCUCAUAAUCUUUUACAAUAUUAUGCCAAUAUUGUAUCAAAGAUAUCAUCGAUGGUUUUUUAUUUUAUAUCGGUUCGCAAUGUGACAUAAUAUUUUGAGAUCUCAUCACUUCAUUAUUUUCAGGUACCUGAACCUAUCAUAAGGUUUCAUGAAGUGUUAUGUCGUAGGCUCUUCAUGAGUACAUUGCCUUCUUAUUUUGAUUAUUUUCUCCUUGAUUUAUUUGGAACCGAUUAGUAUACCAUGGUUCAUGCAUGCAUAGACUUUGUACUUCAAGGACAUAAAAUAGGAGCACUUGCAACUUAAUAUGAUAUGCAUUCAAUAUUUGACUUGAAUUAUCUUUUGAAUGAAGAUCUGAUGAUAAUUCCUAACAUACUUCAUAACUUCUUAUAAUCUCCCCCUUAUGUUAGGAAAACUAACAUACAUCCUCCAUUUUAUUUGAGAAAUCCAUCUUUGUACAUCAUGGUAUGUCCAUUAAUCGUAUACUGCACAUCAAAAUUAUUAGAUGGAACAGUUGAUUCCUGACCUUGAACCAAUUGAGAGGAAAGAAAUAAUCAUAAUUUAUUGGUCUAAUGCAUACAAGUAUUAUUGUAUGGAACAUAUCAUAUUUCAGACCAAUACAAAAACCUUUCUUCUCAUUAAUAAUGGUUUAGAUUUUAUCAAAGGCAUUCAAUGCCAAACCAUCAUUAUCAAGAUUGUCUUGAUUACACAAUAUGAAAGUUAUGUUCUUAACUCAAUUUUAUUGAGCAAACAACUUUAUAAAUGUCAAACGUAAGUUGAUAAUAAAUGUACACGUGAUCAUCUUAUUGAUGCAUCUUUUUAAUAAAUCACAUGAUAGUUGAACGGGCCCUUAUUCACCUUUUAUACUUUUCAGAUUUUAAGGGAUCAAAUCCCAAAAUUAGUUGGUCUAACCAACUUAUCAUGAGCUUAUACUUUUCAAAUUUUAAGGGUUCCAAUCUCAAAAUUAGUUGAUUCAACCAACUUAUCAUGAGAACAAGCAACAUUUAAAGUUCAUGAAGAUUUUUUUUUAAUUCUUCAGUAUAUGUUUAAUACUCAAUAUGCACAUCUUCGAGAUGUUACAAUCGUUCAUAUCAACUUAUGAACUCUUAGUAGUAAACACAAGUUUAUCAUGAUAUGUAUUUUUUUUCUUUUGUAAAUUUCAGGUUUACUAUUAGAUGAAUAAAUUUCAGAUUUACUACUUUAGAAGUAGAUUUAAAACAACUGUUCUAAGUUAUUCUGCCUCAUUCGGAGGUGAGUUGUGAUACCAUCACAAUCAAGUAUUCUUUUUCAUUAAUAAGCUUCUCAUUCCCCAGGAAUGAAAUAUAAUCGUGCCUUAAGCCUAUCAAAUUAUGAUAGCUUAUAACCUCUUUAAAGAUUUUGCUACUUCAGGAGCAAAUCAAGGCAUACAUAUGAUGUAGAGAAUUUUUCUCUAACAUAUCUUAUAAUCAUAAUAUGCGUGUGAAAAUAUCAUCACUUUUGAUGAUCAUUAUCAUAUUGUACCUCUACGCGUAUAUUCGUGCAUUCAAUCACUUGUUUUCUUUCAGACAUAUUAUGCACUGCUAUCAUAUACACUUCAAUAAUGAAGUAAGAUGUCAUAUUUUAGAUUUGUCAUAUAUUGCUACCACAUUCACUUCAUGGAAUGAAGCAUAUUCAAUGGGACAUAUUUCAUGACUUUUCAUUAAAAAUACAUUAUUUUGUCUUAACCAUCAUAAUAUCAUCAAUAUGGUGCAUUGAUACUCAAACUCAACAUCUUACCCAUAUAAAGGCGUCUUAGGCAUAAAUUAAUGGGACUUAAACCCAACAUAUUGUUAUCCUUUUUGAUAAUAUUAUUCUUGAGGAAUAAAUUUAAAAUAUAAAUGGUUCCAAACCAAUUAUUUUUCCUCAAAUCCAAUAAUAAUUAUAUUAUUAUUAACAAAAGACAGAUAACAUAAGGAAUGACUAACUUUGAAAUAACCUUUAGAUUUAUAAUCUUAUCUGUUUCGCAGAGUCUCGUGCUGAUAACGUGUUAUGAAACAAUAAAGAAUAAAGAAGAAGAGUAGAAUAGAGAGAGUAAUUGUUAUUUCUCUUGAGGGAUGAUAUAUAAUGAAUGAAACCUUCUAUUUAUAGGAAAAAUUUGCUCCUAGUUUCACACUAAAAAGACAGAUACAUCAAAUUCUGAUAGACAUCAAAUAGAUCUUGAUAGAAAUUCACUAUAAUUGAUAUAUAUCAUAACACAACCAAUGUUAAUAUGAAAUUAUUUAUUNNNNNNNNNNNNNNNNNNNNNNNNUAUAUAUAUAUUUGUAGCUUCACUUCUGAUUUUUAAUAUUAACCUACAAAAACGUUACUUCUUAAAAAGUAAUUCUUUUUACUAGUUCCAAACAACAUAAAAAAAUAAGAUUAAUACUUAUCUCAUAAAGGGAUUUCAUUCUCGAAUGUAGAGUUUUGUGCAACAUGAUUUUUGUGCAAUUAGCCUGCUCUUGUCGUGUGCACUUUGUUCGUAGCUAUAAUUAAUUAGAGACUUUUGCUGAUAACGUAUUAUAAAAUAACAAAGAAUAAAGAAGAAGAGUAGAUAGAAUCGAUAUUAAUUCUUAUUUCUCUUGAAAAUUCUCUUGGGAUCUCUUUUCGGUACUUGAGGAUGAUUUACAAUGAAAGAAACAUAUCAACUAGAUCUUAUCUAUUAUCUAUAUUCUUGAUAGAUAUUCAUUAUAAUGUAAAUACAUUUAUAACAUAUUUGAUUAAUUUGUCUAUAUAAAUAAAAAAGGAUAAAUAAUUCGACUCGUAAUCCAAAAUUUUUAAAAAUCGACCCAUUUAUCCUAGUGGACAAUUUGACACCCAAAACUUACUAAUCCUGGAUCCGCCAUGUACAUCACUCUUUUUCAUAUCUCAUCUCUGAGAAUAUACUAGGUUUCAUAUCGCAGUAUUUACACUGAAUUUUCACCUUCUUGGGUGUGUUUGGUAUGAUGAAAAAUGUUUUCUAGAAAACAUUUUCUCAUUUUCUCAUGUUUGGUUAUAAAAAGCUAUUGAGAAAAUAUUUUCCCAAGUAACUUAUUUUCCAUCAUUUGAGGGAAAAUCACUUCCCUGAUAAGUGAAGGGAAGUCAUUUUCCAGAUAAAAAAUUGGGGACUACGGUUAUACCCCCACCCUUCCCCCACCCCUCUUCUCCACCACCAAUAAGAGCAGAUCACCUUCGUCUCCACAAGUCGAUCAUCAUCGUCUCCAAUUUUAGGUCUUUCUCCCCCCUCUCUCUCUUCUCCCCACUGCAAUAAUUUCAAAGGUAUGUCUAUAAUUAAUUUCUUAAUUCCCUUUAUGUUGUCUAAAAAGAUCGAUUGGAGUUGAUUUCUCCUUUUUAAAUCUGAGCAAAAGAUCAACAAUAUCUCCUUUAAUGGAUUUUGGCCUAUUGGGAUUGAGAUGCAACUCGAUGAGUCCUUUAUAAAACUCAUCCAGAUCCUUAAAAUUCAUUGCCUUUACGACAUGAAACUACUCUAGAUUCUGCUGCCCCAAGUGUGUUUCCUUACACAUGUUUCUUGUAUGGCUUUCUGGGCCCGGAACCCAUUGAAUGGUUCUACUGAAAAGUAACUAUGAACUUUCAUUGAUUUGGAACUAAUAAAUCUGUUGUCAUUAUGACUUCAUAAAAAAAUGAAUCUAGUAUCAUUGUGAGUUUCUAUGUUGGAUUGUCGUUAUCUCAUGUUUAAGAAGAGAUUCACCAUUAUGCAAUUUCCCUCAUCUUUCUAUGUGUUGAAUAUCGGAAACAACCUUUUUACCUUCCCAAGAUAGACUUCACUUAUGACUAAUGAGAGUACAUUGGGAAUAUUUUUGUGUUUCUAUAUGUUAAAUUUUCCUUAUAAAUUAUUUCAUAACUUAAAUUUUUCUUAGUAGUUUGUAAGUUGUAUAUAAGAAGGUUGCUUAUAGGAUGCCAGAUAUGCCAGUAGUUUGUAGUAGUUCUUUGCUUAUUGUUGAAAGGUUGCAUAUAGCUUGCCAGACUAAGUGUUCGCUUAGUUGAUUCUUCAGAGAGUGGUGUAUGUGUUCAGAGUAGUUCAUAAUCAUCUUUAGUCUCUAAGGUGAAAGAAAAGCAAGAUAGAGAUCUCAGCCUUGUCAAGUUAAAAGAGUUAGUUCAGAAUCAGAAAAAAAGAGAUUUUCUCCCAAAAGAGAGAUGGUGUUCUUCGUUGUCAGGGUCAUCUCUAUGUUCCAGGUAUAGAUGACUUAAGGUAGCAAAUUCUUGUAAAAACGUAUGGUGCGCGCUAAUCUAUUCAUCCAGGGGCCACUAAGAUGUACCGCGACUUAUGGGAGAUCUAUUGGUGGAGUGGGAUGAAGAGAGAUAUUGUAGAAUUUGUGGCUAAGUGCUCUACGUACCAGCAGGUUAAGAUAGAGCAUCAGAAGCCUAGUGGUCCUAUGCAGGAGUUUAUUAUUCCUACUUGAAAGUGGGAAGAAGUGAACAUGGACUUCGUGACGGGUUUGCCUCGAACUCGUCAUCAGCAUGAUUAAGUUUGGGCUAUUUUAGACAAAAUGACCAAAUUAUCUCAUUUCCUUCUAGUUCAUACCUCUUAUUUAGUCGAGGAUUACACCAAACUCUACAUCAAGGAGUUGGUCAUUCCAUUAUCCAUUAUCUUAGACAGAGGUACCUAGUUCACCUCUCAUUUUUGGAAAGCAUUCCAAAAGGGUCUUGGUACCCAAGUUCAUCUUAGUACAACCUUUCAUCUUCAGACAGAUGGUCAAGCAGAAAGGACCAUUCAGACUCUAGAAGAUAUGCUAAGAGCAUGUGCAAUUGGUUUCAAGGGUAGUUGGGAUGGCCACUUGCCUUUGAUUGAGUUUGGAUACAAUAAUAGCUAUCAUUCCAGUAUCCAGAUGGCUCUAUUCGAAGCUCUCUAUCGUAGGAGAUAUAGAUCUCUGAUUGGUUGGUUCAAAGUUAGUGAGGCCUCAGUUAUAGGUCCUGACUUGGUAUUAGAUGCUUUAGAAAUAGUCCAGUUAAUCAGAGAAAGACUUCGGGCUGCUCAAAGCCGACAGAAGUCUUAUACAGAUAUUCAUAGAGAGGAUCUCGAGUUUGAGAUUAGUGAUUAUGUCUACCUAAAGAUCUCUCCUAUAAAGGGAGUAAAGAGAUUCGGCAAGAAGGAAAAGCUCAGUCCCUGUUAUGUAAGUCUCUUCUAGAUUCUCAGUCACUUUGUCAAGGUAGCUUAUGAGCUCGAAUUGCCUUCAGAUCUAGCCUCAAUUCAUCCAGUCUUUAAUGUCUCUUUGCUUAAGAAGUGCAUAGGUGACCUGUUAGUUGUAGUCCCUAUUCAGAGCAUAGAUGUUAAGAAUAGCCUCUCUUAUGAAGAGAUCCCAGUCAAAAUCCUAGACUAUCAGACUUGUAGAUUGAGGAACAAAGAAGUUCCUCUAGUUAAAGUUCUUUGGCAAAAUCAGUCUGUUGAGGGAGCUACUUAGGAAGCAGAAGCAGAUAUGCAUACCAAGUAUCUUUACCUUUUUCUCGCCAACUCAGAUCAAGCUCAAGGUCAUAGUUCUCCUUAAGCUUACUCAGUUUCAUGCUCAAUGUUCAUCAUAAACUUGGUAUCAAAUACCAUUGCAUAUUCAGUCAUGCAUUCAUGUAUCAGUUAGUUAUAUAGUUAUGCAUCAAACAUGCAUUCUCAUAGCGAGAAAACUUAGUUCCUCAGAACACUCAGUCAUGUAUUCAUGAAUCAGUUACACAUGCCUCAGAUAUGCAUGUUCAGUAUGUUAUGUUUAGCUUAUCAGUCCUGUCAGUCGUGAGAUCAUGUUUCAGUUAUUCAUGUUUAGUUCAUGUUUAGCUUAUUUCUUCCUCUCUCAUUCAGUCUCAUUCGAGGAUGCAUGUUCUCAACGGGGAGAUAUUGUAAUACCCGUGCCUUUUUCUUAGCUUAAAGUCAUCUCAAGAAUGGUAGAACUUUCUUUGAUAUACGAAUAUUUUUUUGUACACAUGGUAUUUUUAAUAUUUUACCAUUCUAUCAUGCGGGAAAUUGAAUAAGCUUUCCAUCGUUACCAAUUUUAUCAAAAUCUUGUGUCAGAUGAGGAAGUUAUGGACGAAAGACAGAAAGCAGAAAAACCGCCCAGGUGCGACGGUGCAGGCGACGGACUGUCACCAUGACCGUCACAUCGAGGAAGUGACUUGACUUUCUAGAAAUGUACAACGGCGAGGUUCGACGAACCGACCCAGUGACGGACCGUCGCAUCCCACCAUCGUUCAUUGGCAGUAAGUCCCAAUUCUGUCUCAGUUCGACGGAGAGGUCCGACGGACCGUCGACCCAGUGACAGACCAUCGCACCCCACCAUCGGAUGACCCACUCAGUUAUUUUAAGUCAUUUUAAUAGGAAUAUUUUGGUUAUUUACCACCUGUCUAUAUGUACCAGUUAUAUCUGAUUUCAGCCAUUUUAUCCAUUAUUAUUUCACAACAACAAUUAGGGUUUCUCUUAAGGAUCAAUUCCAAGUACAAAAACCCUAGGUGCUUGAUUCCAAGACAAUAAUUCAAGUUUUCCUCCAUAGAACUUCAAGAAAUCUCAAACCAGGUAUGCAUAGUGUUCAUUCAUGGACUCCUUUCGUCCAUGAAGCCCAAAAAUCCCUUUUCCAACUUCAAGUUAUGAAUUUUCUUUAUGAUUUAAUGAUUGGACUGCUCUUGUUCAUGUUGAUAAAUAAGAAAUUGAAUUCUACUCCAUGUUGGGUGAUAGUUUCUAUGUGGGUUUAAUUAUUAUAGAUAUAGAUUCAUGCAACCUUAUGACUAAACCCUUGAAUGAUGAAACUAGAAUUGAAUCAUAAUGUUUAAUUAUUGUAAAAUGAUGUUUACCUGUACCAUGCCUACAAUAUGUUUGAUUAAAUGCUUAGAUGAAGGAAAAUUGCUUAACUAUCAUGAAAUCCGCAUGUAUGUACAAGUUUAUGCCUAGCACAUGUUUGAUGAAAUGCUUCAAUAAAUGUAUUAUGGUGAUUAUUAUGUACUUAAGUAAUUCAUGUUUAUCAAUUUCCUUCCAUCGAGUCCUGGUAGUACUGGUAUCCAAAAAAUUAGCUAUGUGCCUAGAACCAUGUCAAGUUUUCACGAUACUCUCAGUCAAGCUAUGAAUCCUUAGACUUCAGGCAGUCUUAUGACUCAGGAAAUCUCUAUGAGCUCAUGAACUCAGUCAGCCAUCAGAUAUUAGUAGUAUUCUGCCAGUCAAUGGAAUUCAUAAAUUAGUUCAUGUUCUGUUCAGUUCAAUAAAUCAUGUUCAGUGUCUAUUCAGAUGGGAUUAGAAAUUAGAACCUAGCGAACCCAAGGAUGGGAACUCACCUGCUAGCUUAGGGUGUGAUUCUUAGAAGCAAUCCUUGUGUACUAGAACUACGUAGCCACCAUACAUUGAGACAUAUAACUUUUUAGUUUAGGGUUGAUGAGGUGGAUUAGCCUGUCAUUUUAGGGUUCCUACCGUUCUCAUUUUGAGUACCUGCCAACAUAUGGUCCUCACAGCUUGUCCUUACCAGUGGCAUGAUAUUGACACCCUUCCAAUUGGGGUUACAUAUUAGACCCCCAACGCAGAUAUAAUGGCACAUUAGGGGCAUUUUGGUUAAAUAACUACUUCCCACAAUUUCAGUAUCAGUCUCAGUAAAAACACUCAGAUAGUUCUUCAGUUUUCAGGACUGUCAGAUACAGUCAACUUAGAUACAGUACAGAACUCAAAUAGUUCCAUCAGAUUCUGAACUGUCAGCUACAGUCACUCAUGUUAUCAGUUAUAUCAGUUAUCAGUAUGUUAUGUUAUCAGUAUUCAAAUUUAGUAAUCAUCUAUUCAUGAUAUUAGUGUCAGUUAUUAUAUCUCAUGCAUGUAUUCUCACGCUUAUGAUAGUCAGUUAGUUAUUGUUAUUAUUCAUGCAAAUGAACCCUAUGCAUUUAGCCUACCUCACAUGCAUACCAGUACAUUCAAUUGUACUGACGCAUUCACGCUAUGGUGUUUCAUAUCAUAGGUUCAGAUACACGAGCUCUAGAUCAGCAACAGAUUCUAGCCUUAACAGUCAGAGUUAGAAGUGAGUCCUCAUCCUUUGAGGACAUGAUUAUUUCUAUAUUAUCUCAUUAAUUAGUUUAUUAGUUAGAGUUAAUUGGGGACAUGUCCCAUCAACUCCUUACUCAUUCAGACAAUCAUGUUUAGAGGCUUUCAAGACUAUUAUCUUUCAGACUUCAGUAUUUUCAGUUUUGUUUUAGGUAUUUUAUUACCCCACCCAGAUGUUAUAUUAUUCAACUUAUGUUCAAUUUUGAACCUUAUGGCCUUUCAGUACAUAUUUCUGUAUUAUUAUGUUAUAUUAUGCAGUGUACAGGUACAAAUAUUAGUCAUAGGUUUGCUUGUGGUCCUUCGGGGUCAUGAGAACCAUGUAGCGCUCUGGGUAUCAGAUUUGGGGUAUUACAAACUUGGUAUCAGAGACAGGUUCAAUAGAGUCCUAGGAAGUCUUAAAGCCACAUCUAGUAGAGUCUUGUACAUGGGUGUGUUGCGCGCUAUAUCUAUGUGCAGGAGGCUAUAAGAUAUUUAGGAGCAGUUUUCCUUCAUUUAGUAUUCAUGUCGUGCCAGUGAGCAUAAUCUCAUCAAUAUCUCAGUCUAAUCUGUUUCUUCUCUUUAUUUCAGAAUAUGCCUCCCAAGAGAAGAAAUCAGUCAGCCCCUCAUCCCAAAGAACCUUGGGCAAUCAUAUUUCUCAUGUAGAAUUCAGAGCCGCAUUUACUACUCUUGCUGAGUCGGUUGCUGCCCAAAAUAAAUGACUAACAGUCGUUCCGGCCAACCCAGUAGCCAAUUCAGCUGCAAGCAGAAUUCAGAACUUCACCCGAAUGAAUCCUCCAACCUUUCUUGGGUCUAAGACAGACGAGAACCCUCAGGAAUUACUGAAUUAGGUGCAGAAGGUGACGGAUAUCAUGGGGUGACUGCUAUUGAGAGUGAUGAGCUAGUUGCAUAUCAGUUGCAGGAUAUAACUCAUACUUGGUUUAAGCAGUGAAGUCAGAAAGGGAAGAUGAUGUAGGGUCAGUUGAGUGGGAUGAGUUUGCUUCUGCAUUUCUUGAUUAAUUCUUUCCCCUAGAGCUUAGAGAAACCAAGGUGCUAGAAUUCAUCAACCUCAGGCAGGGCAAUAUGACAGUGAAAGAGUAUUCUAUUAAGUUUACUUAAUUAUCCAGAUAUGCCCCUCAUGUGGUUGCAGAUAGCAGUACAAGGAUGAGUAAGUUUGCCUCAGGGGUGAAUGAUAGCGUGGUAAAUGAGUGCAUAUCUGCCAUGAUGACUAGUGACAUGACCUUAGCCAAACUUAUGACCCAUUCUCAGCAGAUAGAGGAGUAGAAAAUUAAGAUAAAGAAGAAGCAGAAUAAGAGAGCAAAAGCAGGUAGUUUCAACUUUGCUCAGCCUAAAUCAGAAGGAUGAAACCGCUCCCAGUUUCAUCCUAAGCCAUCAGUUCUAGCUCCUUCUUCAGCUAGUACUCCAAUUCCUAAGUUCAGAGAUAGAGUGUCAGGAUCUUAGUCUCAGGGCAAUGUUAGGAGUGCCCACACUUAUCCCCUUUGUUAGACUUAUGGUAAGAACCACAAGGGUGUUUGCAGAUCUGGUAGUGAUGUGUGUUUCGGAUAUGGCAAGCCAGGCUAUAGAGUUUGAGAGUGUCCUCAGACAGGUUCCCAGCAUUAGUAAAAUUGUUCCGCAGCUCAGUCCGAUCGUCCAAAUCAGCAAGGCGCCACUUCCAGUGCUACUAGUGGGCAACGACCAAAUAGACUCUAUGCUCUCCAUACCCAAUAGGAUUGGGAAAAUUCUCCUGACGUAGUUACUGGUUUGUUACAGAUCUUUCAUGUUCAUGUUUACACUUUACUAGAUUUAGGAGCUUCUUUGUCUUUUGUCACUCCUUAUAUAGUAGAUGAUUUCAGAAUCAAUCCUAAAAUUCUAGCAGAGCCCUUUUUAGUCUCUACCUCAGUGGGUAAAACCAUCAUAUCCCAGCGGGUAUACAGGAACUUCCCGAUUAUGGUAUUUCAGAAAGUUACUUCAGCAGACUUAGUCGAAUUAGAGAUGACUGAUUUUGAUAUCAUUCUCGGCGUGGACUGGCUUCAUUCCUUCUAUGCCACAGUCUACUGCAAAAAUAGAAUAGUCCAGUUUUAGUUCCCAAAUAAAACCUUUCUAGAGUGGAAGGGUAGUGUAUCUGCUUUCAGAGGUCAGCUUGUUUCCUACCUUCUGGCAAGGAAAUUGAUAUCUAAGGGAUGUGUCUAUCAUCUUGUUUAUGUUAAGGAUUCCAGUUCUGAGACUCCCAGUCUUGAAUCAGUUUCAGUUAUAAAUGAAUAUUUAGAUGUCUUUCCUGAAGAUCUUUCAGGAAUUGCUCCCAAAAGGGAAAUAGAUUUCAAUAUUGAUUUUCUUCCAGAUACUUAGCCUAUCUCUAUUCCGCCAUAUAGAAUGGCACCAGCAGAACUCAGAGAAUUGAAAGAAAAGUUGAAGGAUCUCUUAGAUAAGGGAUUCAUCAGACCCAACGUUUCCCCGUGGGGCGCACCAAUCUUAUUCAUGCACAAGAAAGACGGUUCCCUCAGAAUGUGUAUUAAUUACCAUCAACUCAAUAAGGUCACGGUCAAGAACAAAUAUCCUCUUCCCAAAAUCGAUGACUUAUUUGACCAAGUUCAGGGUGCCAAUUAUUUCUCUAAGAUAGACCUCAAAUCCGACUAUCAUCAGCUUAGAGUCAGAGAAUGUGACAUUCUGAAAAUAGCUUUUCAUACUCGGUAUGAUCACUUCGAAUUUCUUAUCAUGUCAUUUGGUCUUACCAAUGCCCUAGCCGCUUUCAUGGACUUGAUGAACAGGGUGUUCAAGUAGUACAUGGAUAUGUUUGUGAUAGUCUUUAUAGAUGACAUUCUUGUUUACUUCCGCAGUGAGCAAGACCAUUCAGACUAUCUCAGAAUUAUUCUUCAAACUCUCAGAGAUCAUCAGUUAUUCGCCAAAUUCAGUAAGUGUGAAUUUUGGCUAAGGUCAGUAGCAUUCCUUGUUCAUAUCAUUUCCGGUGAUGGCAUUAGAGUAGAUCCUCAAAAGACUGAAGUGGUAAGAAACAGGGCUCACCCUAUCUCUCCAUCAGAUAUCCAGAGUUUCUUGGGUUUGGCUAGCUAUUACAGACGGUUUAUUGAAGGAUUUUCUUCUAUUGCAUCCGCUAUGUCCAUGUUAACUCAGAAGAAAGUCAAGUUUCAGUGGUCUGAUCCCUAUGAGGAGUUUUCAGGAGUUGAAAACUCGACUCACCUCAGCUUCAGUUCUAGCAUUACCAGAUGGUUCAGAUGGGUUUGUAGUAUAUUGUGAUACAUCCAGAGUGGGUUUGGGUUGUUUCCUCAUGCAGCAUGGUAAGGUCAUAGCCUACGCCUCCAGACAUCUUAAACCCCAUGAGAAGAAUUAUCCUACUCAUGAUAUUGAGUUAGCAGCCAUAGUAUUCACCUUAAAAAAUUGAACGCAUUACCUAUACGGUUUUUAUGUAGAUGUUUUCACAGAUCAUAAGAGUCUUCAAUAUGUCUUUUCUCAGAAAGAUCUCAAUCUUCAUCAGAGAAGAUGGUUAGAGCUCUUGAAAAAUUAUGACAUAAGUGUCUUUUAUCAUCCGGGCAAGGCCAACGUAGUAGCUGAAGCUCUCAGUAGACUGUCUAUGGGUAGUGUUUCUCAUAUUGAGAACAAUAAGAAGAGGUUAGCUCAGUAAGUCCAUCAGCUUGCUAGACUAGGCAUUCGCUUAGUCAAUUCUUUAGAGGGUGGUGUAUGUAUUCAGAGUAAUUCAGAAUCAUCUCUAGUUUUCGAGGUGAAAGAAAAGCAAGAUAGAGAUCCCAGCCUUGUCAAGUUGAAAGAGUCAGUUCAAAAUUAGAAAAUAGAGGUUUUCUCCUAAGGGGGAGAUGGUGUUCUUCAUUGUCAGGGUCGUCUCUGUGUUCCAGGUGUAGAUGACAUAAUGUAGCAAAUUCUUGUAGAAGCAUAUGGUGCGUGCUACUCUAUUCAUCCAGGGGCCACUAAGAUGUACCGCGACUUAUGGGAGAUCUAUUGGUGGAGUGGGAUGAAGAGAGAUGUUGCAGAGUUUGUGGCUAAGUGCUCUACAUGUCAGCAGGUUAAGAUAGAGCAUCAGAAACCUAGUGGUCCUAUGUAGGAGUUCAUUAUUCCUACUUGGAAGUGGGAAGAAGUGAAUAUGGACUUCGUGACGGGUUUGCCUCGAACUCGUCAUCAGCAUUAUUUAGUCUGGGUCAUUGUAGACAGAAUAACCGAAUGAGCUCAUUUCCUUCUAGUUCAUACCUCUUGUUUAGAUGAGGAUUACGCCAAACUCUACAUCAAGGAGUUGGUUAGAUUGUACGGUGUUUCGUUGUCUAUUAUCUCAGACAGAGGUACCCAGUUCACCUCUCAUUUUUGGAAAGCAUUCCAAAAGGGUCUUGGUACCCAAAUUCGUCUUAGUAUAGCCUUUUAUCCUCAGGAAGAUGUUCAAGCAUAAAGGACCAUUCAGACUCUAGAAGAUAUGCUAAGAACGUGUGCAAUUAAUUCCAAGGGUAGUUAGAAUGACCUCUUUCCUUUGAUUGAGUUUGGAUACAACAGUAGCUAUCAUUCCAGUAUCCAGAUGGCUCCAUUCGAAGCUCUCUAUGGUAGGAGAUAUAGAUCUCUGAUUGAUUUGUUCGAAGUUAGUGAGGCCUCAGUUAUAGGGCCUGACUUGGUAUUAGAUACUUUAGAAAUAGUCCAGUUAAUCAGAGAAAGACUCCGGGCUGCUCAGACCCGACAGAAGUCUUAUACGGAUAUUCGUAGAAAGGAUCUCGAGUUUGAUAUUGGUGAUUAUGUCUACCUAAUGAUCUCUCCUAUGAAGGGAGAGAAGAGAUUCGGCAAGAAGGGAAAGCUCAGUCCCCGAUAUGUCGGUCCCUUCAAGAUUCUCAGUCGCUUUGGCAAGGUAGCUUAUGAGAUCAAAUUGCCUUCAGAUCUAGCCUCAGUUCAUCCAGUCAUUCAUGUCUCUUUGCUCAAGAAGUGCAUAGGUAACCCGUCAGUUGUAGUCCCUAUUCAGAGCAUAGAUAUUCAGAAUAGCCUCUUUUAUGAAGAGAUCCCAGUCAAAAUCCUAGACUAUCAGACUCGUAGAUUGAGGAACAAUGAAGUCCCUUUAGUUAAAGUUCUUUAGCGAAAUCAGUCUGUUGAGGGAUCUACUUGGGAAUCAAAAGCAGAUAUGCAUACCAAGUAUCCUCACCUCUUCCCCGCCAACUCAUAUCAAUCUCAUGGUAACAAUUAUCCUUAAGCUUACUCUAUUUCAUGCUCAGUGUUCAUAAUAAACUUGGUAUCAAAUACCAUUGCAUAUUCAGUCAUUCAUUCAUGUAUCAGUUAGUUAUAUAGUUAUGCAUCAGACAUGCAUUCUCAUGGUGAGAAAACUUAGUUCCUCAAAACACUCAGUCAUGCAUUCAUGAAUCAGUUACACAUGUCUCAGAUAUGCAUGUUCAGUAUGUCAUGUUAAGCUUAUCAGUCCUGCCAGUUAUGAGAUCAUGUUUUAGUCAUUCAUGUUCAGUUUAUGAUCAACUUAUUGCUUCCCCUCUUAGUCAGUCUCAUUCGUGGAUGAAUGUUCUUAAAGGGGAAAUAUUGUAAUACCCGUGCCUUUUCUUAGCUUGAAGUUAUCUCAAGAAUGGUAGAACUUGCUUUGAUAUACAAAUCCAUUUUUGUACAUGUGGUAUUUUAAAGAUUUUUCCUUUUUUAUCCUGUGGAAAAUUGAAUAAGCUUUCCAUUGAUAAUAAUUUCAUCAAAAUCCGGUGUCAGAUGAGGAAGUUAUGGCCGAAAUACAGAAUGCGAAAAAGCUACCCAGGUGCGACGGUGCAGGCAACAAACCGCCGGACAAGCGAAGGACCAUCGACCAUGACCGUCGCAUCGAGGCAGUGACUGGACUUUCUAGAACUGUACGACGACGAGGUUCGACGGACCGUCGACCUAGCGACGGGCCAUCGCACCCCACCGUCGCUCAUUGGCAGUAAGUCCUAGUUCUGUCUCAGUCCGACAGACCAUCGACCCAGCGACGGACCGUCGCACCCCACCGGUGGAUAACCCGCUCAGUUAUUUUAAGUUGUUUUAACAGAGGUAUUUUGGUCAUUUACCACCCACCUAUAUAUACCCAGUUAUAUUCGAUUUUAGAUAUUUUAUCCAUUAUUAUUUCACUACAACAAUUAAGGUUUCUCCCAAGGAUCAAUCCCAAAAACAAGAAACCCUAGGUGCUUGAUUCCAAGCCAAUAAUUCAAGUUUUCCUCCAUAGAACUUCAGGAAAUCACAAACCAAGUAUGCAUAGUGUUCAUUCAUGGACUUUUUUCAUCCAUGAAGCCUAAGAAUCCCUUUUUCAACUUCAAGUUAUGGAUUUUCUUUAUGAUUUAAUGAUUGAAUUGCUCUUGUUCAUAUUGAUAAAUGAGAAAUUGAAUUUUACUCCAUGUUGGGUGAUAGUUUCUAUGUGGGUUUAAUUAUUAUAGGUAUAGAUUCAUGCAACCUUAUGACUAAACCCUUGAAUGAUGAAACUAGAAUUGAAUCAUAAUGUUUAAUUAUUAUACAAUGAUGUUUACCUGUACCAUGCCUACCAUAUGUUUGAUUAAAUGCUUAGAUGAAGGAAAAUUGCUUAACUAGCAUGAAAUCAUGAAAUCCCCAUGUAUGUACACGUUUAUGCCUAGCACAUGUUUGAUGAAAUGUUUCAAUAAAUGUAUUAUGGUGAUUAUUAUGUACUCAAGUAAUUCAUGUUUGUCAGUUUCCUUUCAUCGAGUCCUGGGGGUACUUGUACUCGAAAUAUUAGAUGUGUGCCUAGAGCCAUGUCAAGUUUUCACGAUACUCUCAGUCAAGCUAUGAAUCCUUAGACUUCAGACAGUCUUAUGACUCAGGAAAUCUCAAAGAUCUCAUGAACUCAGUCAACAAUCAGAUAUCAUUAGUGUUCCAUCAGUCAACGAAAUUCAUAACUUAAUCCAUGUUCUGUUCAGUUCAAUAAAUCAUGUUCAGUGUCUAUUCAGAUGGGAGUAGAAAUUAGCACCGAGCAAACCCAAGGAUGGGAACUCACCUGCUAGCUUAGGGUGUGAUUCUUAGAAGCAAUCCUUGUAUUCCAGAACUACGUAGCCAGUGUACGUUGAGAUAUCUAACCUGUUAGUUUAGGGUUGAUGAGGUGGCUUAACCUGUCAGUUUAGGGUUCCCACCGUUCUCAUUUUGAGUACCUGCCAGCAUAGGGUCCUCAUAGUUUGUCCUUACCAGCGCGGUAUUGACAUCCUUUCAAUUGGGGUUACAGAUUGGACCCUCAACGCUGCCAUAAUAGCGCAUUAGGAAUAUGUCGGUUAAAUAACUACUUCCCACAAUUUCAGUAUCAGUCUCAUUAAAAGAACUCAGAUAGUUCUUCAGUUUUUAGGAUUGUCAGAUACAAUCAACUUAGAUACAGUACGAAACUCAAAUAGUUCCAUCAGAUUCUGAACUAUCAGCUACAGUCACUCAUGUUAUCAGUUAUACCAGUUAUCAGUAUGUCAUAUUAUCAGUAUUCAGAUUCAGUAAUCAUGUAUUCAUGGUAUUAGUGUCAGUUAUUAUGUCUUAUGCAUGUAUUCUUAAACUCAUGAUAGUCAGUCAGUUAUUAUUAUUGUUUAUGCAUAUGAACCCUAUGCAUUUAGCCAACCUCACAUACAUACCAGUACAUUCAAUCGUGCUGACGCAUUCGCGCUAUGGUGUUUUCAUACUAUAAGGUCAGAGACACGAGCUCCAGAUCACAAGUAGAUUCCAACCUCAGCAGCCAGAGUUAGAAGUGAGUCCUCAUCCUUUUAGGACAUGAUAAUUUCUCUAUUAUCUCAUUAAUUAGUUUAUUAGUUGGAGUUAGUUAGGGACAUGUCCCAUCAACUCCUUACUCAUUCAGACAAUCAUGUUUAGAGGAUUUCCAGACUAUUACGUUUCAGACUUCAGUACUUUCAGUUUUGUUUUGGGUAUUCUAUUACCCCACCUGAUGUUAUAUUAUUCAGCUUAUGUUCAGUUUUGAACCUUAUGACCUUUCAGUACAUGUUUUCGUAUUAUUAUGUUAUAUUAUUCAGUAUACAGGUACAAAUAUCAGUCAUGGGUUUGCUUGUGGUCCUUCGGGGUCAUGAGCACCGUGUAACACUCCGAGUACCAAAUUCGGGGCAUUACAGUAGUACUUUUCAAAAAAUAUUUUUUCCUCUCACCAAUCAAACAACUAAAAAUAUUUUUUAGAGAAAUAAUUUCUAAUCACCAACCAAACACCAUAAAAUAUUUUUUAGAAAAUAUUUUUCAUCCACCUACCAAACAUGAAAAAAUAAGUAGAAAAUCAACUUAGAAAAAUAUUUUCCAUCAUACCAAACACACCCCUUAUGUGUCUCAUCAAAUGUAUACUGGAUUUCUAAGUUGACAACAGUCAUAUAAUUGGACUUUUCUAUUAUAAUAUUAAAUGCUCUUUAAAAUAUUCCGAACUAUAUAUCAUAGUUUUCUUAAACCGACCUUCUACAAAAUUGAUGAAUCAUCUAUAAAGUAGAUGUGACAUAUCAUUUGUUCCAUCACUUCAUUUAUUUCAGGAGGAGAUUUAAUCAUCUUUUUUCUCUUAUUUUGAUAGAUCGAAUAUAUUAUUUUAUAAUAAUUUUUUUAUUAAUAUUUAUUAUUUUUGAAUUUUUAUUAUAUUUAUUUUUAUCUUAAAUUGAAAUUCAUUGAGAAUAAUUUUCCUACCUCAGUUUUGAUGGAGAGGUAUGAAUAAGGUAUAUUCUAUUAUUUUCAAACCCUAAAACACAUCAUUAUUAUUGUCGUUUGAAUUUAUGAAAGAGUUAUAAAAAUGAAGUUAUUUCUCUCUCUUUUCGGCUGGAAAAUGGUUUUUUUGUUUUCUGUUUUUUCUUUUUGUUAAAAAACUGUUUUCAUCAAUCACAAAGUAGCUAGACUUAUUUCUUCUUCUUUAUAAAGAAAGGUAUUGUACUAAAAAAAACUUUUCUACAAACUUCAAUAUUUUCUAAAUUAAAUUAAAAUCAUAAAAUUUGCUAUUAAAUUAUUUUGAAACCUAAAGCAAAGGCCCAAAGACAUUACUAGUCUUCUCUUCCCCAAGUGAUGGUAAUUGAUUUGAUAUGUUGAUUAUACUCCGUUCGUUUCGGAAUAAGUGAAUUAUUGGGGUAUUAAUUGGUGUUUCAAAAUAAGUGAAUCAUUGAUUUUUUUUUCAAAUUUAUCCUUAUGAUUUGACAACCAAUUAACUUUUGAAAAGGUAUUACAAAGUCAACUUUUUCUUUUUUAGGGGGUAAAAAUGAAAAGUUGUGUUAAAUUUAUGUCUUUAAUGUUUUUCCUUAAUCUGUGUGCCAAAAUUCAACAAUUCAUUUAUUAUGAAAUGGAGGGAGUACCUUGCAAGUGUAGUUGAUAUGACGAUACCUAUGCCUAAGGGGUCGUUUGAUAGAGUGUAUAAGAAUAAUGCUAAAUAAGGUGUAUUAGUAAUACUUGUAUUAUUAGUGCAAGUAUUAGUAAUGUGGGUAUUAGUUACACAUAUACAUUAUUUUUUACACAUUAUUUGGUAAUGUGGGUAUUAAUUACACAUAUACAUUAUUUUUUACACAUUGUUUGAUUUGAUGUAUUAAAGAUAUUAUAUAUUUAUACAAUUUUUGUGAAAAAAUAUUUGUUUGUCAAAUUACCCUUUCUUAAACCCUUCCUUGUAUCAAGAGACUAUUAAGUUGGAAAAAAAGGAUUGAGAUCGCGUUGGGCUUCACAACUUCACCAAACCAGGCUACAUCCACAAGAAGAACGUCAACAGUAGAAACAUUCUCCUCGACAACAGCUUAUGAGCAAAGAUACAUCAGGCACGACUUGGGAACUUGUGGGAACAGCGGAAUACAUGGACACCUGAGUAUGUUGAGUCAGGGUCAGUGUCCUCCAAGAUGGACAUUUAUACCUUUGGAGUUGUAUUGUUGGAAUUAGUCACCGGAAAAUUCUGCUUUCUAUAGCAAUAGCUGAAAUAAUGGAAGGAGAAAAUGCAGAAACUGAACUGGAUGGAUUCAUCGGAGCACAUAUACAGUAGCAAACUUAAGCUUAAGAUGCUUGACUUUUGAGAACCAUCAAAUCGUCCAAGCAUUGAAGAGAUAGUAUCAUGUGUAUAAAGUUGUAUAAUAGUGUAUACAAUGUGUUUAUACACACAGUAUGGGUUACGUGGGGGUAAAUGUUUUUAAAAAUAAGACAGAGAGCAUACUGAUACAUUAUAUAUAACUACUGCAAAUUUUCUCCAUCUGAAUCUGCUCAUCGUCUGAGCAGCUUUGAGUCGCACGCCACAAUCUUAACACUGCUAACAGUCGUUACUCUUGAUCACAACAUCUUUCAAGAUAAAAGUUCAGACAUUAUCCAAAUAUCUGUAGGUGUGAAGAUGUCCCUGCAACGAUAGUAGGACAUUCAAAUCAGAGGCGGAUUUAGAACUUUGAGCGGAAAAUUUCCUAAGCAUAACAUUACUCAUCUCAACAAUGAGCCAAAGUGGCAAGCAGAAAGCUGGUAUAGCCAACAACUAUGUGGAUGAACUAAGACUUCAAUAUCUGGUUGAUUUGAGAUGUUUUAGCUUGCACUAAAAUCAGAGGCGGAUUUAAGAUUCAGAGUCUCCGGGUGUCAAGUAAACUCAUCGAUUAAAAACUAUACCAUUUAUAUACAAUUAAAAUAAUUUUUUAUAUAUAAUAAUCGAUAUUAAACCCUCUUCGACUAAUUCUUAUAUUUACUUCUUUUGAUUUUAAACCCUCUUAGACUUUGGUUACUUCAGCUUUUUACUUAUUCUAAAAGAGAAAACAAAAAAAUCUUUAAAAGUUAGAAAGGACCGUGGACAUUGAGAAAACUGCAAAGUGAUGAGGCUGAGCUAAUGACUAACAAAAAAAGUUUCAUAGAUCGGAGAACGAGAGAAUAAGCAAGAAGAUGAACAAAACUUAGGGUUCUUUUCAACUUUCUACUCUAACAUAUUUUUCCUUUUUUAAGGCUUCGUCCUUCUGAAAUUGCACAAGGUUAAAAGUUUGAGGCAUGUGUUUUACUGAUGUUUAUUCUAUUUUUUUAACAUUGCUCUUCCUCUUGUUUUUAAAACUUAACAGUUAAUCAUUGGGAAAUAUAAUUGAAGUUGACUGACUUGACUAGUGUAUAUAUUCUGAAUUUCUCAAAGAGAAAAAUUUAUAGUAAGUAUGAUUUUUUGAAACAUUGUCCCAUAAUGUAUUAGUUAUGAAAUCAACAUCGUCCUAUUAGUGGAUAAGAAUUCAUAUAUACUUCUGAUAGUAAAAAUUAAGAAGAGAAACUUGUUUAUUUUAUACUAAACAAAUACUAAUUAAAAAGAAAUAAAAGAAACGGAACAUAACUGAACUUAAAAACUUACGUUGCCAGCAGGUAUCAAAAUUGGGCACCUUGUGAAAACUAAGCGACCCUCUACCACUGGCACCACAGACAACUUAUGUUGCCUGGGUGACAAGUUUACUAUUUAUAUAUAUUAUGUAUAUAUACCCCUAUAUAUAGAGAGUUUCCGUCGAAGUUUGCGGGUGGCGUGACACCCUCACGGGCCUUAAUAGAUCCGCCCCUGACUGGUAUGGCAUAAUCACUUGUUCUUCUUAAUAAUUAUUCAAAGAAGAUAUUAUAUGAAGAACAAUAUCUUUCAAUUUUGAAGAACUGGUGUUGAGGAAGUAAAACACCAUUUGAUUGCAAGAGUAAAAAAUGUUGGUGCAAACAACCUAUCAAUAACAGUCACAAUUGACCACUGAUAGAAUAGCAAAGUUAAAAGAAAUGACGAAUGAAGGAAAAACGUUCAAGGUAAUAACAUAGUGAUCAUGAAACAAAUCAAUUAAUUUUUGAAACAAAUAAAUUAUGGAGUUACAAAGAACAUGAAUUUGAUAAAUUCAUUCUUCAAAUUCAUUCUUCUUUAAAUUAUACAUUUUAGGUUCUUGAAAGAAAGUUACUUUUUGUUUUAAAGUAUUCAUGAAUCUAUUUACUAUUAAUUAAUUAAUACUUUUUUCUUGCAUGAAAAUUUUACCCUAUAAAUAGUGUUUCUUUUGUUUGGAAAGACAAGCACUUCAAAAAAAAAAUUACUUUCCCCUUGAAAAACAUUUGAGAGACACUGAUCAAAAGGUGAAAUCACCAAUUCAAGAAUAGAAGAGUAACAUUCUUGAAUGCUACUUGUUUUGUGGCUUAGUUGAAUCUCGAAGAUAGAAUUGUUACUAAUUCUUUCGUUUGCUCGUGGGAGAGACUUCAACUAUCGUCAAGAAGCGUAUUAUCGUGCCUCUAAGCCAAGCAAGUUUAUUUUGAAUUUCUUGUACAAUUAUCAUUAUUGUUCUAACAAUUUGAAGAUAGUUGUCUCAAUGGCUUCUACAUCAAUAUCAAAUAGUAUUCCAUCUUUGCCUAAUCCUAAUUUUGAAAUAUUUGAUGGCAAAGAUUUUUCUAGAUAGUGUGGAAAGAUGAAAUUCCUUUUAAGAGGAUUAAAGUUGGCAUAGUUUCUUGAAGAACCUUGUCCCAAUGCUCAUAGUUUUGAGGUAGCAUCUGACGAGGCUACUUUGAUUAAAGAACAAAUUGCCAAGUGGUAAUUUAAUAAUUAUUUGUGCGAGAAUUAUAUUCUUGGAGGAGUGUCCAAUAAAUAUUAUGACUAAUAUUAUGUUAAAUAUAAAUAUGCUAAAGAGAUAUGGAACACUCUUCAAGCUAUUUAUUUAGCAGAAGAGGCGAGUUCUAAGAAAUUUCUCGUUUCAAAUUAUAUGGAGUUCAAAAGAGUUGUUGUCAAGUCAAUCACUAAACAAGUACAAGAAUUUCAACUUAUAGCUAAUAAAAUUGUUGUAUCUGGAAUUGCUCUUGAUGAAAACUUUCAUGUUGGUGCAAUUAUAUCAAAACUUCCUCCAUCUUGGAAAGAGUACCAAAGCAAACUCUUACACAAAAAGAAAGAUUUGACUUUUGAACAAUUAUUGCAACACUUGCAAAUUGAACAAGAGACACGAUAGCGCGAUAAUAAUAGUUUGAAGGAACCUGUCAUGAAAGCUCAUAUGGCUGAAGAAAAAUCAAACAAGAAGGAACUUGAAAAUAAGAAUUUUUCAAAGACAAAGAAGACUACAAAUUUCAAGCGUAAUGGUGCCAAUUUUAAAUCUGGUGAAUGCUUUCAUUGUCAUAAAGUUGGUCACUAUGCGCGUGAUUGCAGAAUUCUCAAAGCCGAAAAGAAAAAAAAAGCAAAUAAAAAUAAAAAAAGAUGAUCUUGUGGCAACGGUCACUGAAGCAUUUGUAGCAGAAGAUCAAGUGGACUGGUGGAUAGAUACCGGCGCAACUCAUCACAUAUCAGGUAACCGAAAUUCUUUCAAGACUUAUGAAUUAGUGGGGGACGGUAAAAUGUAUAUAUGGGAAACUCCUCCUCUACUAAAGUUGUGGUAAAAGGAAAUGUUGAACUGAAAUUUACUUCCGGAAAGAUAGUUAUAUUGAUGGACGAAUUGCAUGUUCCUGAUAUUCGAAAGAACUUGGUGUAAGGUACACUUCUUUCGAAGCAUGAUUUUAAAAUGGUUUUUGAGGCAGAUAAGUUUAUUUUAUCUAAAAAUGACAUGUUUGUUGGAAAAGGUUAUGUUGCAAAUGUAAUGUUUAAACUCAAUAUUGAAAAUGAAAAUAUUUCUGCUUAUCUUGUGGAGUCUCUGGACUUAAGGCAUGAACGUCUUGGACAUAUGAAUUUUAGAUCCAUUCAACUUGUGGUGAAUAAUGGAUUAAUUAAAGAUUGUGGAAAGAAUCAUACUACUAAGCGUCUUACUUGUAGUAAAUGCAAGAUUAUAAAGAAGCCCUUUAAGACAGUUGAAAGGACUUCCACACUUUUCCAAUUAAUCCACACUGGUAUUUAUGAGGUGAAUUGUUUGUCACGUCAUGAAAAAAGACAUUUUAUCACUUUUAUUGAUGACUACUCAAGAUAUACUUAUGUUUUUUCAUUGAAAACAAAAGAUGAAACAUUUGAGACUUUCAAAACAUAUAAAGCAGAAGUUGAAGAUAAAUUGAGUUUGAAAAUUAAAUCAAUUAGGUCUGAUAGAGGUGGAGAGUACUUAAAGUCAGAUUUUAUUGAUUUUAGUGAAAAAGAAUGCAUUGAAAAAUAAUUGACCAUGUCCUAUACACCACAACAAAGUGGUGUAGCAGAAAGAAAAAAAUAGGUCUUUCAUAGAAAUGGUUAAUUCUAUGCUUUAUAGAUCUGGUAUGUCUGAAAAUUUAUGGACUGAAGCCUUACUUUCAACAUGUCAUAUUUUGAAUAGAAUUACUUUCAGGAAUCAUCAUGCAUCUCCAUAUGAACUUUGGAAUAAUCAAAAACCAAAUAUAAAUUAUUUUAAAGUAUGGGGUUGCUUGGCUCAUGUUCGAUUACUGAAUCAACAUUUAACUAAGAUUGAAUAUAGAGGAGUAGAUUGUGUGUUUAUAUGUUAUUCACAAACCAGUAAGGCUUAUAGAUUUUUAAAUCUUGAGACCCCAAGUCCUCACACAAUUAUUGAAUCUUUACAUGCUAAAUUUUUUUAGCAUAUAUUUACCAAGAGAAAAGAUUCUUUUAAACAAGAUGCAAGUUCUUCUAUUUCUCCUCUUAAAAGGUAAAUAGUUGAGCCAUUGGAAGAAAGUCAACCAAGACGUAGUUCAAGAUCAGCCAAAUCAAAAAACUUGGACCUGAUUUUUAAGUUUAUUUGGUUGAAAAGGAUCCUAAAAGUUAUGCUGAAGUUGUGUCUUCACAUAAUGCUCCUUUUUGGCAUGAAGCCAUUGAUGAUAAAAUGAAUUCUAUACUGUCUAAUAAUAUAUGGAUAUUAUCAGAUCUUCCUCCUGGAUGUAAACCAAUUGGUUGCCGGUGAAUUUUUAGGAAGAAAAUGAAAUUCGAUGGUACUUUAGAUAAGUACAAAGCAUGCUUGGUAGCUAAAGGCUUUACUCAAUUGAAAGAUAUUGAUUAUUUUGAUACUUUUUCACCUGUUGUUCGGAUGACCUCUAUUCGUCUCUUGAUUGCUCUAGCAGCAAUUCAUGGUCUUGCGAUUCAUCAGAUGGAUGUAAAGACCGCAUUUCUGAAUAGAGAUCUAGACGAAGAAGUCUACAUGAAACGACCAAACAGAGUUGUCAAUCCUGGUCAAGAACAUAAAGUUUGUAAGCUUCUUAAAUCUCUUUAUGGAUUAAAACAAGCUCCAAAACAAUGGCACGAUAAAUUUAGAAAAGUUAUGAUUUCUAAUGGCUACUUAAUUAAUGAUGGAGAUAGCUGCAUAUUUAGUAAAUUUUAAGAAAAUUCUGGUGUUAUAAUAUGUCUUUAUGUAGAUGAUAUGUUGAUCUUUGGAACUGAUAUAAAAAAAGUUAAAGAAACAAAAUAUUUUCUUUCUUCUCAGUUUGAAAUGAAAGAUCUUGGGGAAACUGAUGUAAUUUUAGGCAUCAAAAUUGUAAGAUCAGCAAAUGGUUUGACUCUUACUCAAUCAAGUUAUAUUGAGAAGGUUCUAAAAAGGUUUGGUCAUUUUGAUGACAAGCCUACUUCUACACCAUUUGAUCCUAGCAUCAAACUAGUGCGAAGCUCUGAUGAUAUUCUUGAUCAAUUGACAUAUUCUCAAAUUAUUGGGAGUCUUAUGUAUGAAAUGCAUUGUACCAGGCCAGAUAUUGGUUAUGCAGUAGAAACUUUGAGGAAGUCUACUGGUAGCCCUGGUGUUGAGCAUUAAAAUGUCUUAAUUUGUGUUUUAAGGUAUCUGAAGGGUACAAUUAAUGUUGGCUUGCAUUAUUCUACCUUUUCAGCAGUUCUUGAAGGCUAUAAUGAUGCCACUUGGAAUUCUGAUCCGAAUAACUCUAAAUCUAUUACUGCUUGGAUUUUCACUUUAGCUGGAGCAGCAAUAUAUUGGAGAUCAAAGAAGUAAACAUGUAUUACUCACUCAACUAUGAAGUCAGAAUUUAUAGCUAUGUCUUCUGCGGGAGAAAAAGCUGACUGGGUGCGGAGUAUACUGAUAGAUAUUCCAUUAUGGAGUAAACCAAUACCACCUUUGACUAUCUAUUGUGAUAACAAAGCUGCUAUAUUUCGGGCUUGAAGUGAUUGUUACAAUGGCAAGUCAAGACAAGUUCGUCUCAAACACAAUCAUGUGAGAAGAUUAUUGGAGGAUGGCAUAAUAUCGCUUCAAUAUGUGAAGUCCAAACUCAAUUUAGCAGAUCCUUUGUCUAAAGGGUUAGGCAAAGAAUUGGUGAUACAAACUUAUAAUGGGAUUGGAAUAAAGUCUGUUGUAGAUUGAUUGUACUUUAUGGAAACUCUACCUAAUGAUGUAAUCUUGGGUUCAAAGGAAAAAAAAACAAGUAAAGUUACGAUUGUGAAGCACAUCUAUAAAAUUUUCUUUUUCCCUAGAGAGUGAGUAGAUGUGCAUAAGUUGAGAUUUUUUCUCUUGAUAAAUCUAUAAGACCGAUCUCGGUUGGAGUAAAUAAUAGAAACACUCUUGAUAGAUUUACUGAUACUUUGCUAUAAAGGAGGAUGAGAUUAAUUUCUCUUAAUGAAAUUCAUAGACUAUUUAGUCGGAGUAUGCAAAGUUACUCUUGAUGAAUUCACCGCACUAAGUGCGAAGUGGAGGCCGCUUCAAUAAGAUUUUAAUAGGGAAAUCUUAAAGCACUUAGCUAAAAGGAUUCGGGACACAUGGAACCACUUAGUUCAAGAUUUGUUCACUAAGUAGUCAAUGAUUUAGAAAGUCUUCACUAGCUAAUGGUUCAAGCCCAAAAGACACCAUUAUUGAUGCAUGUUGCUAGAUUGAUGUCUCAAAUGAAUUUUGUUUUUAAAGAUAAAAUUUCUUGAAACAAGUGGGGGAUUGUUAUUGUUAAAGGUUGUGUUUCAAUAAAUUUUGAAACAAAUACAUCGGUUAAAGAUUUUGAGUUAUGUUUCAAUUAAUUUUUGAAACAAAUGUAUUAGUUAAAAGUAUGGAGUUACAAAGAACAUGAAUUUGACAAAUUCGUUCUUCAAAUUCAUUCUUCUUUAAAUUAUACGUUUUAGGUUCUUGAAAGAAAGUUACUUUUUGUUUUAAAGUAUUCAUGAAUCUAUUUACUAUUAAUUAAUUAAUACUUUUCUCUUGCAUGAAAAUUUUACCCUAUAAAUAGUAUUUCUUUUGUUUGAAAAGACAAGCACUAAAAAAAAAAGUUACUUUUCCCUUAAAAAACAUUUGAGAGAUAUUGAUCAAAAGGUGAAAUCACCAAUUCAAAAAUAGAAGAGAAGCAUUCUUGAAUGCUAUUUGUUUUGUGGCUUAGUUGAAUCCCGAAGAUAGAGUUGUUACUAAUUCUUCCGUUUGUUCGUGGGAGAGACUUCAACUAUCUUCAAGAAACGUAUUAUCGUGUCUCUAAGCCAAGCAAGUUUAUUUUGAAUUUCUUGUACAAUUAUCAUUAUUGUUCUAACAAAGAUGUGAAUCGAAGGAUCUUUAGUCCAAGGUAUUGGCUUUUCAGCUGAAAGCACUCUUCUAGCUGUCCACCCUUAUAGGAAGCAAGACGUCAACCAAGUCUGGGAGAAAACACAGGCUGAUUGCUAGUCCUCGAGUUAGGGUGAGGUUUGUUAUCAAACUCUAGUCAUAUAGGAUAGCCCCCAUUGAAUUAGAAAGGUAUGCCAGGUCACAAGGAUGACAGGGCAGACAAGACAAAACAUUGGAAACCUACAAGAAUCAUGACCAAGAAUUUGGGCUUUGAGUUUUCAUAUUGACCACGAAUUGCAAGUUGUGCCGUUCCAUCUUUUGUUAUCAAGGAGACUACGCCUCUUGAAAACUUUAUUGCAUUUGAAGUAUUUUAACUAUUGGGUGACUUGUCUCAAUCAUGUUAGAUACACAACUUCUUCCUCCUCUAUAUCACUUCCAGUUACAGUUAGUGUUUCUUCUAAUUCUUAACAACUCAGUAGCAAGUAGUACUCACUAAGACUUGCUACUUUCAAAGUCACUAACGGAAACUUAUCUCCUCAAUCAGGGCACACACACCUGUCGAGGCCUCUUUGAGUGUGACUUCAUUAGCUAGAUGCACUCGGAUUCGGUUCCUAAUAAAAGAAAAAGAUCGUUGGCCUGACUAUUCCGAUUGAGAACACAGAAGAGGCUGUAAAAUAGUAAGAAGGCGAGUCCGAUCUCUAACUCAAGAGGGCUUCUCUUCCUCUCAUUGUCAGAAGUCAAAUGGUUAGUCUAGUUGGGGUAACUGGCCCAGACGACAUUGAUAAUGGAGUUUCCAUGAUAAGGUACGACGAGAUGCAGCCCUCUUGGAAUAAACAUGUUAAGAAGAACAUUGUCCUUACUGGCUACCACUGCUGCUCUAGAUAAUACAGCUAGCCCUUCUCCCUGAUGUUUAAGAUGGCAGUCAUAUCACAGGGGAUGCUUCUCUUUUCUAAUAAUACAGCAAGCAGAAGACCACAGGGUUUGCACAUAUGAGAUCCUUCGUCUAACAUUACUCCCUCCAUUCCAUCUUAUAUGACAUUUUCCCCAUUUUAAGACGUGCCAAAAUGUUUGACACCAUUCAAAUUAAUGAACUAUUUAACUUCUGAAAUUUGAUGUGUUGGUAAGUGCUUUCUUUAUCAAACUAACGUUUUAACUAUCUCUUUAAUAGUUUUCCCAUACUUGCAUCAGAUUAUCACUUUAAACUUGGUGACCUGUAAAAUAGCGUAUAUUAAAUAGGUGCAUGAUCAGUUAAUAUUCUAAAAUAGAGACAACAGAUGAUCUCACAGCAUUUGCACAUCCCAAAAUCAAAAUGCUACUCAAUAAGCAACAAACAAAUCCAGAAGGUUGAAAGACAAUAGCAAUUUCACCAAGAUAAGUUGGAUGAAACGGUGAAGAAUUCUUACUUGAGUACCUCAUGAUUUACAGGAUACUGCUAACUGAGUGAACAGAGUAUCUAAACCACUCAAUUCCCCAUUCAUCGUUGACAGAAGAACAUAUAAAAUAGAAGUUUCCACAUUGGACCAUAUGACACAUUCUAGCAGGACCAUGUGGAUUAUGGUACUUCCAAGAGUGAAAUACUCAUCGGAAUCACCUAGUAAAUCAUUCAUCCCUUCUUCACAAUUUGUUCUUCAACAUAAAGCCCAUAGACAAAGAGAUAUAGCCAUUAUAUCUAGUAAAUCAAAGCAUGUUAUUUGGCAGAUUAAAGAAUUAAAAGAUCAGCAAACUUAGUAUCUUUUCAAAAAACAAAUAAGAGCCCCAAAAGCAGGAAAAAUCAUCACAACAACAGCCAGUAAGCGCGAGUACUGAAACUGAUCACAUAAAAGUAUUACUUUUGUAAGGUCAAGCAAUCACAAAUAAGCUUGACACUUUACCGGUUUAGAUUAUGUAAACAAUCACCAUAAGCUCGACAAAUCUGCAGUUAUGGACAAUUCACAUUGCUAAUUGCUGUAUUUGGUUAAAAAAAUUCUAUUAGUAUAGAUGGUAAAUAUUUUCUUAAAAUAGCAUAGUUUGGUAAUUUCCCCUUGUAAUCCCAAUUCUGACAAUAAGGGUGUUUUGUGAUAUAAAAAUUAUAUGUGUGGCUCAAACCUAAAUGGAUCAUGAUUAGGUUAGAUUAUGCUGGUAGAAGACGAGCCCUCUUCAGCGUCUAAAUCUGCCUAUAAAAAAAUACGUAACGUCCACUUGUUCAACACUGCCUGAGUAUUGAAAAGCCCUAGCCCUAUGCUAGUGUUGCUCCGAUGACAUAGUAAUGGAGAUCUUAACAUAUCUCCUUGCUAAGUCCCUCAUGCGAUUCAAGUGUGUUUCUAAAGCUUGGAAUACUCAGAUAAAACACCCCACCUUUGCCCGGUCCCCACUAUGCUCGUUCUAAAGACCGCCCCUCAGCCACCCGAAUCUUGUUUCAACUACUCAAAACAAAUCCUAAUAUUGAUGAACCAUGCCGUGAUGCAGAAACACGUGAAUCGGUAGGAUUUUCGUUACAACUUGAUUAUUUUUGCGAUGCUCGGGAGAUGACUAUUUGCAGAAAUCAUUGCAAUGGCCUUGUUUUUGCUUGUAUAGCUAUAAAGACUGUCAACUUUAUUUAUACAAUGUCACCACAAGGGAGAUACAAGCAUUGCCACAGAGACUAUUAUCGUACAAAUUUGAGUACCCUGGGGUUUGAUCAAGUGACUCAAAACUACAAAUUGCUUUGCUUUUUCAGUCGUCCAGAAGAAGGAAAAGCAAAGAGGGCCAAACUUCUAACGCUAGGAGUAACCAACUCCUCCUGGAGAAAAGUCAGGAAUUGGUUAAAACCUGACCCGUGUGAUAUUUACAGGCUAAGGAAUGUGUUUUCCUCGAUGGGGUUGUUUAUUGGACCGGUUGUGUUAAGUGUAGCGCCUACUUCAACUUCAGCAAGGAGAAGUUUAGGUAUUGUUUACCGCCAUCUCAACAUCAUCCAAAUUGUAUAAUGAAUGCGUAUACCAUGGACACUGCAUUGUGUGGAGAAUUGUCUCUGUGUUAUACUUUUAUCAAUCACGACCCUCCAGUUCUCGUGCUAUACAAUCGUACGAUUAGAAUUACUGCUGAAAGGGUGAAGACUAUUGAGGUUGGGGCUGCGCUGUUUGGAGCAGAAACGAUUAAUGAGAAGACAAAGAAGUCACGUGUUUUAGCAACAGCAAGUGCGGUUUAGUGCCGCUGCUUCUCUGUCUUCCUCCUCAGGUCCUCGUUGCUUAAGAUUUGCUAGCAGUUUUGACGGCAACAACAACAACAACAACAUUGGUCCUCGUACCAAGCUAACAUUUGUUAGCAGUUUCGUUGAGAACAUUAUCCCGUUAACUUCUUUACUCGUUUGAAACUAGAAUUUUACAUCAGGAAGUUAGAACAAACACUGCUAACUAGCAGUUAUGUCUAGCUACCAGUUUAAUUUUUGAUAUUGUGCAUUCUUAUUCAAUUUCAGUUUUGAACCAGUUUAUUCAAUUUAAUUAUGUAAAUGAUUGAAGUAUGAAGCAUUGGGAAGCCUAGAGUACUGAUUUUCGAGCCAAAGAAGUUUUGAUGGUAUAUUCAGUUUCCGUAUCCAACUGAAAGUAGUGUGAGGAGUAUUAGCAUCUUGCGCGGCACUAGCUAGAGAGUUGUUGGUACCCGUGCUAGUGAACAUUGUUGCAAUGGCUGCUGAGGCCUUAGAGGUUUUUGAAAUUAAAUUCCACCACGUAAACAAAAUCAUAGUAAGUCUACUGCUACACACAGUUGUACACAUUACCUUGAAGAGGUAACAAAGGUUUUGGAUACGAAACUGAAGGAACUUUGGUCUAAAGAUAUUAGCUUUUCAGCCGAAAAAUCUCCUCUGGCGGACCAUAUUCUCCUUAUAGUAAGCAAGACAUAAGCCGAGUCUGAGAGAAAACCUAGACUAAUUGCUAGUCCUCGAGUUGGGAUGAGAUCUGUAAUCAAAAGUUGGCAUAUAGAAUAGUACCCAUGGAAUUAGAAAGGCACGCCCAGGGUCACAAGGAUGAUAGGAUAGACAAGACUACAAGAAUGGGUCAAGAGUACGUACCACUUGGACAUAGUCAUCAAGCUUUCAAUAAGUUACUUAGGAUGAAUCCACGUUCAUCAUAUAGAUGUGUGAAUAGCGCUCGAAUUAGCAUAUAAUGCAAUUAAUCCAUGCACAAUAGCAUGUGCUUCUUAGUUCUAUAUAUGAAUUGUUAUCUUUCAUAUAUUCCUGUAGACAUUAAGUCCUUUGCGAUUUUCUGAGUUCCUUCUUUCUUCUCCGGGUAGCAGAACGAGGGUUCAUAAUAUGAAAAAAAGUAAACAAACCAAAGGGAUUCUAUUUCAUAUACAACUUUUUUUUAAAAAAAUAAAUCAUAUAUAAAUUGUACUUCCAGUAGAGGUGCAACAUAAAAGAUUUCAAAAUACUUCUAUUAACUGACUCUUCUUAAAAUUAAUCUGUAUGCUACUUCAUAAAGCGUCGUUCAUGUUUGUUUUAAUUGUUAAACGUAAUAAUUUCAAUUUCGACAAUUAGAAAGUGUUGUGGAGAUGCUUAUAGCAAUAGGCUACAUUACAAAUUGUGUAAUAAACUCGAAAUGUCAACUGUAACCUCAAUACGAAAAACAAAAUGUGUGGUCGUUCAUAUGUUAAUCCUCUGCAUGUUGACAUAUUAAAUUAAUACUAGCUAUGUCGAGAAAUCUGAUUAUAACAAAGAGAAAUAUUCCAUAUUGUAGUGUCAAAAGUUUUUAUCUCCCUUGUGGCGAUAUUGUAUAAAUAAAUUUGACUAUCUUUAAAGUUAUACAAGUACACAAGGCCAUUGCAAUGAUUUGCGCAAAUAGUCAUCACCUGAGCUUCACCAAAAUAAUCAAGUUGUAAUGACAAUCCUUUCGAUUCACGUACUUUUGCAUCACGGUAUUAUUCAUCAAUAUUAGGAUUUGUCUUGAUGAGUUGAAACAAAAUUCGGGUGGAUGAGGGGCAGUCUUUACGAUGAGCACUGGAUCGGAUAAAGGUGGGGUGUUUUAUGAAAGUAUUUCAAGCUUCAAUUAGAAACACACUUAAAUCACACUAGCGACUUACUAGGGAGCUAUGUUAAGAUCUCCAUUACUAUAUCAUCAAGCAACAUUGAUGCGUCUUCAUAAGGUGAACAGGAGGAAAACGAAAUUAUCCUAAUUACUGUUAGGGCUAGAUGUUACAUAUUUUUAGGGGGAAAGGACAUGGGCUGGACAUUUUGAAAAGAAAUAGCUAGCCCUUUUAAAAGUUGGACAUGGAUAGUCAGUCGGCCCAUUUUAAUUCUCCUAAAUAGCCAUUGGCCCAAAACUGAUCCUCUUACACAUUAAACGGCCCAAAACUGAUCCUCUUACACAUUAAACGGCCCAAAACUGAUCCUCUUACACAUUAAAGAGUCUUUCAAUGGCUACUUACAGAACUUUCCCAAAUUUUCUCUCCUUCGUUCUAAUAUGCUUCAUAAAUCUGUGCUUUUUCAUCAAAAUUAGAAAUUGAGUUGGUGAUUCUUGCGUUGUCUUGACAUGAAACAAAAAAUGUGUAGUAAAGGCAAGCUAAAAUUAGCUGGCAAAGGGGUUAAUUUUGACCCCAAAUUUAUUGUUAAAGAUGACGACUUUACGGAAUCUUCAUAUAUGUUGUUGUAGAUGAAGGACUCUCCUAGUCCUUUAAACUUGAAGAAGCAGAAAAUUGAUAGAAUAGAGUCUCAACGUAAGAGAAAAUCUAUGUUGGAAAGUCCAUCUUCUUCUCAUAGGAUGACUCAGUCACAGAGUCAGAGGCUUUUAGGUGCAUGCAAAGAUGAAGAAAAAGAUCUUUCAAAAGGAAAGGACAAGGUCGGUGAAUGUAUAUUUGUUAGUGCGAAGAAGAAAAAAAGAAACGAAAUCGAAAAAAAUGGUAAAGAUACUGGUGCAUCGUCAAAGAAAAAACGUAAAGUUUCAGAUCAGCUUAGCAAACCAAAUUAUAGUUUAUCAGAUGUUGAGGUAUUCUAUAUUUUUUUACAACUAUAAUGUAUUUUUUUUGUGUAUGCGUGCAUUGUGAGACCUUACUUUGUAUGUUGUUGUUAUUGUAGUUAUUUUGUGCAAUGUAAUGCAUAGUGUUAAUGUAUUGAGAAAUAUAUAUUUUUUUCAGGUUUGGGAUUUUGUUGUUCGACCAAGUGAUUAUUACAUGACUCAUGUUAGUGUGCAUACAAAUUGCUCGAUUGUAAAUGAGAUGAAAGAUAAGUUGACCAAGGUGCAACUUGAUUUGUUCAGAAAACACCUAUUUUGGAUAUUUUUUAGAUUUGCCACCUGUUUUCAUUCAAAAUCAGUUGAUACAUGGCAUGUUGCUUAGAAAAGUUUUGUCUAGCCGAAAUGAUGAGAUAUGGAUUAAAGUGAAUAACACAAAGUUGCGAUUCGGUCUAUCAGAGUUUGCUGUUAUAAAUGGCUUAAAGUGUACAGGUGAUGUUACACUGCCAUGUAAUUUGAGCCAGUCUAGUCACCUUAUGGACUUGUAUUUUCCAAAUCAAUUCGAAGUUACAAAGCUUGAGCUGAAAAAAAAUUUCUUGAAAAAAAAAUGGCAAUCUGAUGGGGACGCGUUGCAUAUUGUCAUUCUUUACUUCAUUCAUAGUUUUCUGUUUUUAAUUACGUAUGGUGACUUCAUAAAUAAGGAUGUCUUUUUGUUGGUUGAGUUUGGUCAGUUUGAAACAUUUCCCUGGAGAAAGUUGUGUUUUCAUGAUAUGUUGGAUUCAAUAAAGUAUCAGAUUUAUAAGCGAAAGUCUAUGUAUCGGUGUGGUGGUUUUCUUUUGGCAUUCUAAUGUUGGUUUUAUGAAUGUUGUCCUUAUGCGGACAAUAAACUAACUGUUCGUGUAGGAGAUAGCUUGCCCUGGAUACUUAAUUGGUCGGUGACGAUCAGUCCAAACUACAAGAAGCUGAAGUUUGCUUUUAGUGAUAUAAAUCACGAGUAGGUACUUAUACUAUGUGUAUUUGUAUAUAUGGUCUUUUGCUUAUACUAUUAAUUUACUUUUUAAAACUUUUAAAUUUUUGUUUGUAUGUAUAGGCAGUGCUAACCAAUAUUGAAUCAACUUGUAUUGAGAAGGGCAUUCUUCAGUUGCCUGUUUUUGAGCCUGUACCUCAAAAGUAACAUGUUGCAUUCAAGAAAUCUGAUGGUUUGUCAGAUUUGAGCAAAGAAGAUAUGAGAGAAGACAGUCCUGUGAAUUCUCAAAAUGAGUUGAAACUUCUGCGAACUGAUUUGAAUUUGGUAUGUUUAAGUGUUUUAAAAGUUUAAUAUCACCUUUUUUGUAGUUGAGUAUUAUAAAAAAAUUGAUGUUUUUUUGUUUGCCAUUUUGAAAAUGUUCAACUAAAGGAUGAGGUUUUGUCGAUGAAACAGUUGAUGACAUCGUCAUUUGACCUAAUUUUUAAAGCACUACGUAUAAAUGAGGGUUCUAAGGUAUUUGGCUUGUUGUAUUAUUUUUGGUUUAUAAGACUUAUAUACAGUUUUAUACUAAUAUUUUUUGUUGAACUUUUUAAAAUAGUCUGCGGAGUAUCACAGUGGUCAUAAUGUGGAGUUUAAAAAUGAUGAUACACAUGUAGGGAAUUCCAUAAGGGUUAAUUUGUCUGACAAUGUGGGAAGGCAAACUGAUGGUACACCUAAGGCUGAUUACGUAAGUGAUAAUGUGGUUGAUGGUGUUAGACAAAAAAAUAUUGGUGUUGAAAAUUGUAUUGAUACAGAAGCUGAAAAUAAACUAAGUGCUAAUCUGGUUGAUGAUGUUGAAAAAGAAAAUAUUGAUGUAGGUGAUCACAUUGAUGUAGUAACUGAAAAUCACCUAAGUGAUAAUGUCAUUGAUAAUAUUGGAAAAGAAACUGUUGGUGUAGGUGAUCGUAUCGAUACAGAUGUAGCUGAUAGACCUAUUACAGGUGAUGAAUGGAGUGCAUUUCUAAAUUUUGAUGUUUUAAAAUUUACACCAAGUGGUAAUAAGAUUGGAGAGGAGGUUAAAAAUAGUUUUGAGGAUAGUUGGUCUGAUUUUCCUGAUUAUAAAGUAUCAAAUUUUACCCAACCAAUUUCUCAUGAGAAUGUACAGUAUAAGAAAGAUUUGGUUGAGAAUAGACAGUGAAAUCUCUAAGUAUACUCAACCUGAUAAAAUUGGUGAACAUUCUGUGAUUGAGAAAGUUGUUGGGAAGAUUGAUACAAUUUAGGUUGUACAAGUGUUGCAUUGGAGGCUCCAGAAGUUCUUGUUGAUGUUAGAAGCAUAAGAAAAAAUGUUGAUGAUACUUCUGUAGGUGAUAAAUCAAUUGUCAUCUUGGGUGACACACCGGUUGUCCUUCGUAGAAUAAGAAAACCAGCUGCAAUAUGUGAAUCACUAUACGUGUUCAAGUUUGAUUUUGGUUGUAGCAACGUUCAAGGUCAACCGACUAAGUGCAUAGAUAAAAGACAUUCAAGAAAACACAUAUUCAAUAUCAAAUAUCCAUUUACCAUAAGUAUUACAGAGCCAUUUCUUGAUAUGAAGUUGUUGUCUUCAUUCAACAAGUUUGUUGAUAAGUCAUUACGGUUUAAUUCAAAGUAAGUGUUUUCUUUCUAAAUUUUUGUAGUUUUUUCUUUCUAAAUUUUAGUAGCUUAAAUUUUUAUCAUUUUUGUGUCAUAACUAAUACGUUGUGUCAUGUUUUUGUUAAAGUCUUGUUUAUUUAGAAUCUGUUAAUAAUCUGACAAAUGCUUUUGACAUUGGUGUUGUCACGAUUAAAAUAAAAGAAUGGUUCUACACGCUUGGAUAUGCAGGAGUACAUUUAACUGAUUUAGUAAAUCUAUUAUCCAUCAUGGUUUGCUAGUAUAGCAGUGCUGAAAUAUUCUUUAUUCAUUCUGACAACGUAAUGUAGUUUACUAAAAUGAUCUUUUAUCUUUACUUUUCAACAUAUUGAUGUGCUUUUCUAUUACUUUCGGAAGAAAUCAAAGUACACUCUUUUAGAUGGUGGAAGUUCAUUCAAAACACCUGAUUGUUUGUUUAAUUGCUUGAUAUAAAGUUUGUACUCAAAGUUUUUGGGUAAAGAAAGAUGUUGCUGUUAUUAAGGAGGACAGUGAAAUUGUUGAGUAUAUCCUCGAAUAUGUUAUGAAGUGUAAUAUGUCGUGGUAUUCUGUUGAUAAUGUUUUGUUCCCGAUAAAUAUUUCUGAGAACUUUCACUGGAUUUUGGCUCGUUUGUCUUUUAAAGACCAAUGUAUUUAUGUUUAUGAUUCAAUGUGUGGUGCACGAUAUAGAUGUGUUGCUGAGAAAGUUGUUUCAGCAUAUUCAGAAUUGAUACCAUAAUUGAUACCAUACUUGCUUUCUUUUAUUGAUUUUUGGGACAAAAGAAGUGAUGAAAUUGCAGCUGCUGUCUCGUUUGACAUUCAGAUGGUUGACAGAUUGCCAACUCAAAAGAACACGUAAAUUAAUACUAAAAAACUAAUACCGUUGCUAGUCUUUCACUUUUUUUAUUAUUAUUAUACUCAUUUGAGAAUAUGUUGCAGGGAUUGUGGUGUUUUUGUAGCUGCUUUUACAGAGUAUAUGAUUGAAAGCGUUCAAAUUCCUGCAAGUUUAGAUCAUAUUGAUAGCAUACGGGCCGAUAUGAUGUAUUACUGUGGCAAUAUGGAAAGACAACUAUUAUAAAGUAAUAAUAUUUAAUUUAAAAAGGUAAAAUAAAUAUUUAUGACUGUUUCAGGUACUUCAACCGUAAUUAUACUGUAUCUGUAAAGCAAGCACGAGGUCGACAUGCCUGCUUCAACUGUUUCAAUUGUAAUUUUACUGUAUCACCCCUAAUUAAUUAGUAUAAGUUAUUUAUGUAUUAGAAAAUUAAUAAUGUUUAAUUAAAAAAAUUAAAAUAACCAUUUAUGACAUGUCUGCUUCAUUUGUUUCAAUCGUAAUUUUACUAUAUCAUCCCUAAUUAAUUAUUAUAUCUCUAAUUAAAUAUUAUAAGUUAUUUACAUAUUAAAAAAUUAAUAAUAUUUAUUUAAAAAUAAAAUAAAAUAUACAUUUAUGACUGUUUCACUCAUAAUUUUACAGUACCAUCGUUAAUUAUUUAUUAUAGAAGUAUUUUUUUUUAAUAAUUUUGCUAUGUCGUUUCUAAUUAGUUAUUACAAGUCAUUUAAGACAUGUGUGCUUCAUUGCUUUCAUCGUGAUUUUACUAUAUCACCCAUAAUUAAUUAUUAUGAUUGUCUAAGUAUUAAAAAAUUGAUAAUAUUUCAUAAAAAAAAGGUAAAAGAGACAUAAAAUGAUAUGUCAACAUAAAAAAUUUCAUUGACUAGCGAAAUUAUAUUAGUGCACAUAAAUUGAGAUGUGACAAAGCAAAACAUAAAAUAACAUAUAUUAUUUGAAAAUGAAAUAAAAAGUAUUAUAAAUUACAAUAAUUAAAAAUUUAAUAUAAUAAUAUAUAUGUAAAAUAAAAUUUGAUUGACUGUCGAAAUUUUAUUUGUGCCACAUAAAUUGAGACAGGGAGAAUACUCAUGUAUUAUUGAAAAAUAAUGUAAAAGACAUUGUAAAUCACAUAAUUAACAAUUUAAAAAAUUUUAAAAAUAUAAAAUAUUUGACUGACUCUCGAAAUUAUACCAACAUCAUUUAAAUUGAAAUGGAAGAAAAAAAUAUUACAAAUUAUAAUUAUUAAAAAUAUAAAUAAUUUUAAUAAUUUAAAUUGAGAUACAAAAAUAAUAUAUAUUGGGCCCGUGUCAGCCAUCGAUAUCUAGUAUUAAAAGAAGGUAGAUAAUAGGGGAUAAGGGUGGGAGGUAUUAUGCUUCGGCCGAACGAUUUUCUAAGGGCUAAACCUCGUGGAACACACUACUUUAAGUAUAUAAUUGACUUUGUAAUUAAUUUCUAUAUAUUUAAAAAAUGUUAGAUUUCUAAUGAUAAAUAUUAUCGGAGUUCUUUUUAUACUUAGCAUGUCCAUGAUUAUAUCGGAGUCAAAUAAUUAACAAAAAAUAGGAUCAACGAAUAAAUCAUAUAAUUAUUCUAGUUGGAUUGUAAAAGAUGCUACACUCUAAAAUUUACUAUGACUUAAUAUAAAUAGUAGGUUGGUUGCCAAAAAAAAAUUCAUAUAACUAACAUAUACAAAAAAAAUUUUACAUAACCUAUUAACCUAAACUAAAAAAUGAAAAAGUAAGUUGUUACAUAACAUAGAGUCCAACUGAUAAACCUAACUAAAAAAUCAAGUGUGUGUAAAAAUUUCAUGGGGUAUCCUAUUCAGUUGGCCCAUUUAAACAAUGCGCAUAUUAUGUUCUUUUUGAACAAAUACCCGAUAUUGUUAUAUUUACACAUUGAUGAUUGAAAUUUGUUAUUUAUCAUAUAUGAAAUUUGUGUUUCAUAUUUUUGACUUAUUUGGAGUAAACUAGAAUGUUUAAAUUUGAAAAAAUAUAUAUAUUUUUUUGACAAAACUUUAAGACUUACAUAUUUGAAAGUUCAACCUAUUUUUACAUAUAAUUCACUUACCAAGGCCAAACUUUCAAACGUUAUUGUCUGAAAUUAUCAAGCUUCAGACGCGUUGUCCAUGUGGGUAAACUUACAAAUUUUUUAUCAAGGGACUAUUAGUUAAAGGGCGGCAUCAAAAGCAAAUGUUCAUGCACUUCCCCUAGUGUUAGCAGUUUUUAUUUUCCUCACAUGCAUGAUGCACUAUAUUAGUGCACUAUAUAAGUCCAUUGGUCCUAGCGAUCGUUAAACUUGGCUCAUUAAUAAGUUUUACUCCCUUCAUUUAUUUUUACUUGUCACUUUUUGACAUGGUACAUUUAGUAAGAAAAUAAUUAUUGAUGAUAUAACUAUUGUUUCAUAUUAUCCCUAUUAAUUGAUGAUUAGAGUAAUAUGUUUUGAAAAUGGUUUGGACAAUAAGCAAUUAAUGCUACGGAUAAAAUAAGAAGUCUUCUUUUGUCUUUUAUUAAUAUGUCAAAAAAAUGAAAAUCUAAUUUAGAAAAAUAAUAACAGGUAAAAUGGAACAAAACGAGUAUAAUUUAGUGCACUAUACCUAAUUUUUGUCAACUCUAAUUUUACACUAUUUGAAUCAUUUUUUUCUUUUUUACUUCCUUAUUUAGGUUGGGGACUCUUCUAAUUGUAUGUCAACUUGCAUAUUGCGAAGAAUGGUUGCACACACAGACAACUUCUAAUCGACCUGUGAACUAUUAUUAGCUAAUCUAAAACUAAUCAGAAAAAGUAAACAGAAACCUAACUCCCUGUCCGUUAAUUUGGAAAAGUAUUGAAGCUAGUAUAACGAUAUAGAAGGAAAAAAAUAUACUAAUUACUGUCUUGAAUUUCUAAGGUAACACUUACUUAUUUUGGAAAUAAAAAGUUUUAUUAAGGUGUGACACUUAUUUUGGGAUGAAUUACGUAAGAUAAAACUGAAGGAAAAAUAUUUUUCGUUAUUGGAUGGAAAUGAAUUUUCUCUCUCUAUAUAUAUACUAGUCAAGUAUACGUGCUUUGCACGUGUAUAUGACAAUAAUAAUAAGUGUAUAUAUAUAAACGAAUAAAUUACUAUCAUUUAUAUCGAACAAUAUACUUGAUCUGCCUUCAAAGAUCCGGCUAUUAUGAAUCGGGUCCAUUUAUACAGUCACUUAAGACUAAUUUCUUGAUAGAGAAAAGUAACCCUUCAAAAGAUCUUAUAUUUCUAUCUUUCCACACCACCCACGUCAAGGCAAGUAAAAUCGCAUUCCAUGUCAUGAAUCUUCUCAUCUAAGACUAAUAAUUAUAAAUUAUGAAACAAAUAUGUGCACAAUAUUUUUUUUUUUUUUAAAAAACAUUGAAAUGCCAAUUAUUUAAUAUUAUACUUUGAAAGGAAAACUAUGUUUUAGAAUCUUGAUGACGACACUAAAACAUAAAUUGAGCAAUUCAAAUUAUUCGUACCGUCUAUCUCUAAGAACCUGAUAGAAGAAUGAAAUUGGAUAUAAAUUUAGUUUGCUAACUCAUGAAAUCUCUAUUUUUAUUUUCUAACCAACUACUGAUUUUGUUUGAUACUCCUUUCACACUAUAGUUUGUUUGUUAUUAACUUAUCAUGACAAAUCACAAUUUUCACUUUAUUUUUCUUUCAAUAGUUUUUUAUUUUAUGUAAGUAUGAUUUUGACAAAAGAGUAUUACCCUGAAUUACGCCUUAAUAAGAACAAUAUGAAUAAUAAAUAAAAUUUAGAACAGAAAAAACAUAUCUUAAAUUCACUCGUACUCGGUACGAAGUCUCAUUCGCAUGCUUCACAUAAAUCUAUCUUCAUCUACAUAAAUAUAUUAGAAAAUCAAUUAAUAAUAAUUUAUUUAUGGAGACAAAUACAAAUAUUUAAGAUUAUUAGAAAGAAAAACAUCUUAAAAAAUAAGGAAUCUUUAAUUUUACUAAACCAACAAUAAAAGAGUAGAAACUUAUUUUGAAGAUAUAUAUAUAUAUAUAUAUAUAUAUAUCACAUGCCGGGAUAGGGAAUAAAUCUUAACAUACACUUUAAAACUUUAGUCUGGCGUGGAAAAAGGUCAAAAAAAAAAAAAUUGAAUCCUAAAAUAUAUUUAAUUACAAUACAAUAUGAUUCUUUAAAUAUAUUUUUGGACUAUUAAAUUUUUUUCAUAUACUUUAGGACUCAAUAUAUUUUAGAAUUCAUAUAUUUUACAUAAUUUAGGAUUCUUAUUUCUUUCCAUAUAUUUAUUUAUUUUAUCAAGAUUCUUUCCAUAUACUUUUGGAGUAUCUCUUCAUUUAAUAAUAUAAUAAUUGAAGAAAAAUAAGUGAAAAAAUAAUCUUGUCUAUUGUAAAGUGUUUUAAUGAAGGACAAUUAUAGAUAUAAAUAUAUAUUAUAAUCAAUAGAUUAUAAAUAUAAAUAUAAAUAUAGAUUAUAGAUUAUAGAUUAAGACCCACUCGAAAGAAAAAGUAUAACUUUAUUCCUACUUUAGUAAUAAAUUUAAAUUCAGACCAAAGUUUUUUUUUCCCAAUAAAAACGUUAAAUUUUUGUUUUUUGAAAAAAAAAAACAAACACCAAUAACACACAGCCUCAUGUAAAGAGUUUGAAGAGCAAUUGGUGAGUAGCUCAUUUUUGACCCCAAAAAAAAACCGUGGAAAAAGGUAAAAAUGAAUUUGGAUCCUAAAAUAUAUUUAAUUAUAAUACAAUAUGAUUCUUUACGUAUAUUUUUGAAGUGUUAAAUUUUUUCCAUAUAUUUUAGGAUUCACAUAUAUUUUAGAAUUCAUAUAUUUUACAUAGUUUAGAAUUCUUAUUGCUUUCUAUAUAUUUAUUUUAUCGGGAUUCUUUCCAUAUACUUUAGAAGUACUUCUUAAUUUAAUAAUAUAAUAAUUGAAAAAAAAAAAAGCUGAAAAGAUAAUUUUAUCUAUUGUAGAGUGUUUUAAUAAAGGGUAAAAAGUUUAAAUUACUUUUUUUAAGAUCUUUAUACUUUUAAUAUAUUAUAAAUUAUAGAUAUAAAUAUAGAUAAUUGCUCCAUCACUUAUCUAAGAUUUGAGGAUUUGAAAGGUCCAUUUGACUUAUAUCACACGAGAACGGCUUAUUAAUGUUAUUGAGCACAUUUCUACAUAAUUAGUUAGUAAUUAUUAGAUUAGCCAGUACGCCUGACGUUCUAUUAGAUUAGCCAGUACCAAAUUGGGCUCGUGAAACACAUUAUUACUAUAUCAAAGAGGAGAUUUUAUCAAUUUAAGGAUGUGUUCGAAGGAAAAUAUUUUCGACAUUUUUUUUAAAUUUUAAAUCUUUUUAGGAAAAUAAAUGAUCUUUCAACUUAUUAAUACUAAAAAAAUAUAUAUUUCAAAAGCAUUAAUAUAUGGUCUAAACCGGGGAAAAGGGCUAAAUUUAUCUCUUCAUUUUGAAAAGUUGGCUAAUUAUACGGUUUUCUUAUAUUUUGAGGUCAAAUUUAUCCGUAAUCUUAUAUUUUGCGCUAAAUUUAUCCUUGCUAUUAAGAAACUUUUCAUAUGUACCCUUCAUUUAACAGAAAGUUCAAAUCGAUAUUAAAUGCCUCAUUUUUAAAAAUAAAAUACCCCCUAAUCUCCCCCAUCCCCUCACCCGACCCGACUUGACCCAUAAAAAUAUCCCUCUCCCAGUUCUGUUGGUCGAAUAUUCCCAAUGAAAUUAGGUCACUAGGUAUUUAUCAAUGCAUAACUCAUGAAAAAUGGAUCUGCAUUAGUGCAGACACAAACAAAUAUGCUCCUCCCUUAGUUCAUGGAUCUGCAUCAGUGCAGAGCUCAUGAAAAUGAUACUUAACAGUCAUAUGCAAUAGAUUAGGCUCACUAGAUAUUUCUCUGGACGAUUGAGUUAAGGGUCCUCCUUAUGUGUCAAUCAUGACAUCUCUUCAUUCUUAUGUCUUUAUAUACAAUUUGGAUCGACUAAAAUUUUUCAUCAUACCACUUUUUGUUCAUUUGUAACAAUACACUAGCGCUGCACGUUGAAACAGAAGUAUAUUUGCUCAUUAGAAAAAUUCGACCAACGGAAUUGAGAGAGAGGAAUGUUUGUUUGUGUAUCUUUUGUAGGUCGGGUGUGAUUGGGGACGUUAAAUUAGGGUGUAUUUUAUUUUUAAAUAAUGAAAUACUUAAUGUUCGAUUUGAGCUUUUUUGUUAAAGGGGGGAUAAAAAAAAAAAAAUUUUAACAAUGAGGGUAAUUUGACCCCAAAGUAUGACAUCAAAUAUAAAUUUGAUCUCAAAAUAUGAUAAGAAGAUAUAUUUAGCCAAUUUUUAAAAUAAAGAGGUAGAUUUUAUCUUUUUUCCUCUAAACAAAUACUAUGAGAUGUGAGGAUGGGAUAGGGGUGUAAGGCUGGUGGGGUUGGGUGAAAACAAGGUUUGUUAAGAGUAUAGAAAGGGCUCAAUCACUAUGGAGUGACAUGUGUUGAACUUGUUUUUCCUGAUUUCUUUAGAUAAUUCAUUUUCCUUGUUUAUUUUUUUAAAUACUUAGUAGGCGUUUGGUCAUAUUUCAUUAUAUAAAUUGGAAAAAGUUAGUUUUAAAGUGAAAAAUGAUAUUUGAAAAUUAGAGUUGUGUACGAUUAUGAAGUAAAUUAGAGUUAUUUUUUGCAUUUUUGUCGUAAUUUGAAUUAAAAAAGUUAAAAUAUUUUUUUUUGUUUCAGGAAUAUUUGAAAAUUCUUGAAAAAGGUAAAAAAAAAAAAAAGCAAAACAAAAUAAAUUUCAUAAUUUUAUAGCCAAACAUAGUUUUUGGAUGGGUGUUCUAUUCUGCAAAAAGUGAGAAAUUUUCUUGGCCAAACGAGUCCUUAUUUUUCUAAGAAAAAUAGUUUUCAAAAAUUAACCAAUCGAAUAUGAGAUAAUUGAAAAUAUUUUUAAAAAAUAUUUUUGUCAUACCGAUCGUACAAUCCGUGACGCCCCUAAAUAGAUAUAAAACUAUUUCUAGUGGCAUUUUUGAAAUGAAAAAUAAAACUUAAACAUAGUCUUUUGCUAGUUACAAACGAAUAAUUAGAACAUGUAUAUAGUUGGAUUACAAAAGCUUUCAAAAUUAUUUCGGUGUAGAAGAAAAAAUAUUAUAAAUCAUAAUAAUUAAAAACUUAAAUUAUUUUAAGAAUAUAAUUGACUAUCAAUGCCACAAAAAUUGGGACAAAAAGAGUAACAUAUAUUAUUUAAAAAUUAAAUAAAAAAUAUUAUAAAUUACAAUAGCUAAUAAUUUAAAAUAUCUAAAAACAUAUUAUGGGGAAAGGACAUGGGAUGACCAUUUUUAGAAAAAAAAAAAUGGCCCACAUUUGAAAAGGUGGAUAUGCUGUAGCCAGUCGACUAAAUUAAUUCUCCUUUUUAGCCAUUUGGCCCAAUUGGGCACUUGCAGACUCUAUAUUCAAUUGAUACACUUUUAUACUACAUUGAUACACUUUUAUAUUAUAUUGAUACACUUUUUAAAAAAGAGAAAGGAAAUUCUAUGCAAGUACGUGCAGUUCCUAUAACCAAUUGAUACUUUUUUAUACCAUAUUGAUACACUUUUAUACUACAUUGAUACACUUACAGUGUCCAUAUACUCAAUUGAUACUCUCUUAUACUAGGUUGAUACAUUUUUAGAAUGCAUGUAGAAACUAUAUAGAGUCGUAUAAAAUAUGUAUCUAAAUAAUAAUUGUAGUUAAAAAGUAUAUAUAAUGUGUAUAAAAAUGAUAUAAUUAUUAUAUAGAAUAUGUAUAUGUAUUUUAAUAAUGUUAUAUAACUUAAAAAAGAUUGUCAUGUAAAUGGUUUAGAAUAAAACUUAUAAAUCUACCUAAAAGUUCAGUUGAAUUGUCCAACGUCUACUUUGACUUUUGAAAGUGAAAUAAACUAAACUUUGCAUUAUUAAAAAAGAAAAGGAGCCAAAAAAACACAGGCCAUUAAAGAUGAAAAGUUGGCCAGUACACAAAACGGAAAGGGCCGAAUUGUGAUGCUUAAUGGCCUAAUUGUGAUGCUUAAUGACUAUUUUCUAGGUUUUUAAAUUUAGGUGUUAGUUUUGUGAAAUUAUUUUAAUUUUAGGUGCUAUUUUUGUCAAGGACAAAAAUAGCACCUAAAACUAAAAUAAUUCCACAAAACUAACACCUAAAUUUAAAAACCCAGUAAAUAGCCACCAUCAUAACCAUUUAUAUGAUAGUAGUGAAAUACACUUUACUGAAUUAGUAAUAUUGAAACUUGUUUGAAUCUUCAACCCAGAACAAAUCUCUCUUUAUUUUUUUUUAAGGCUAAACCCAAAAUCCUCUCUCUCUGUCACUUUCUCUCUCUCUUCUUCUUCUUUGUACAUUGCGCGAUCUCUGCAACUCUAAAGCUAUUUUCCUCUUCUAUACAUACAUUCACUUUUUACAAGUCAUCCUCUAUUUUCCUUCUUCGAAUUUUCUCUGUAAAAGGUGUAUUUAUGUGGUAUAUAUACUGUACCGACGUGGUAUAAAAAUGUAUCAAUCUAGUAUAAAAGUGUAUUAAUGCGGUAUCAAAGUGUAUCAAUGUAGCAUAAAGUGUAUCAAUAUAGUAUAAAGGGCAAAUCACAUAAAUAUACAAUUUAAGAGUAAAUAUUACAAAAUAUACCACUAGUUUCAUUUUUAUAAAAUAUACCACUAGAAAAUUUACAAAACUUAUCAAAUAAGAUAAAAAGAAGAAAAAAAAUAGUUAAAAGUAUCUUUCCUAUAAUUUCUCUUAAUAUAUUUUUCAAUUCCAUACCCACCUCAUAACAAAAUUAUUUUGGGGAAAAUUUCAAAAUUAUUGCUAUAAAAUUAAUUACACGAAAGAACAUUUACUUUUCAUUCAACAAUUUCUUCUUCCUAUUCUUUUCCUUCUAUUUUAUAUUGGAUUUUUUUUUCUCUUUUCUAUUUUUUCUUCUUCUUAUUAAUUAUGUACCUCGUUUUUCUUUUUUUAUUUUCUUCGUGUGUUCUUAAUUAUCACAAGAAGAAUAUAUAGUUACCCAUAUGUAAAGAUUGAAUUUUUAGGAUUUCUUUUGAAGAAAGAUCUGGGUAAAAAAUAUAUAGUUAUCCAUCUUUACAUCAAUUUCUAUAAAUUUCAGAUACCAUAAAAUUAUUAAUACACUUAUUUUUAUAUAUUUCACUAUGAAAUUAUUUUUAUUGAUAAACCUAUUUCUAAAGAGAUCAAACACUAUAAAAUUAUAGAUACACCAAUUUCUAAGACACUUUAAAUAAAAUUGAUGAUAUACCAAUCUCUAAAUAAUUCAGACACCAUAAAAUCGUUAAUAUAUCAAUUUCUAACUAUUUCAAAAAUCAUAAAAUUAUUAAUACUCAAUUUUUUAUACAAUUCAAACACCACAAAGCUGUCGAUACACCAAUUUCUAUACAAUUUAGACACCAAAAAGCUGGUAAUACACCAAUGUCUAUACAAUUCAUACACCAAUUUUUAUACAAUUCAUACACCAAUUUCUAUACAAUUUGUGCAUUAUGACACAUCAAUAUAUCUACAAUUCUUGCACCAUAAAAUCAUUGAUACACCAAUUUUUAUACAAUUCAAACACCAUAAAGCUGUUGAUACACCAAUUUCUAUACAAUUCAGACACCAUAAAGCUGGUGGUACACCAAUUUCUAUACAAUUCAUACAUCUAUUUCUAUACAAUUCAUACAUAAUGAUACACCAAUUUCUAUAUAAUUCAUGCACUAUACAAUUCAGACACCAUAAAGCUGGUGGAACACCAAUUUCUAUACAAUUCAUACAUCUAUUUCUAUACAAUUCAUACAUAAUGAUACACCAAUUUCUAUAUAAUUCAUGCACCAUAAAAUCAUUGAUAACCUUCACUUGCUGGUGUCAUAAAAAAAUUCUCGAAACUCCUCAAAAAUAUCGAAAGAUUCAACCUAGUUGACCUCUUCCUUUCCAACAACGUAGAAGUAGAAUAACAAAAGAACAAUCAGUAGUAACAUACAUUGAGAAAAAAACCAAAAACCUCCAUGAAAAAUCAUAUCCAUGGCCAUCGUCGCCACCAUAUCAGAUUCCUUCACCGUAUCCAAAAUAAAAAACACAAAAUAUACUGACCGAUGAACAAACAGAUUGUCACCACCAUCAUCAAGAGUGAUAACCCAAAAAUAUUUUGGUUAUUGAAUCACUUGACGGUUUCCUUAGCCCUUUGUACAAUUUCUUAAGCCAUUUUUUCUCACAAACAAAAUCCUUAAAAAUCCUCAAAUAUUUAUGCGGGAUAUUAGCAUACCAUACAGAAUUCCUACUUUCCAGCCACCACAACGGCAAUUUGUACCCAAACGACGCUGGAAUUCUGCACUUCAACAACUCGUUCUUCCACCAUGGAUUAUUUUACAAAUGGAUGACAAACUUAUAUGGAGAAAUUUCAUAAAUAUAAUGAGGGAAAAAAAUCAAAAAAUUUAAUGGAGUUUGGAUGAAACCAUCCAAAAUCAUCCGGCAAUUUGCUCGAUGUAAUCGGGCAGAUCGCUCAUCGGAGUUGCUGCAAGAAACAAUGCUUGCCUUGACUGUUGCACUUUCGUUUAGGGCUAUAAUAUUGUAUGAGGAAGGAAUCCUAUAUUAGUCUAAUCGUUUUCAUGAUAUCCCCGUUGAGAAAGGCAAACUUUCAUGAUUUCUAGGGUAUUAAAAACUAGGGAUUUAGAUAUGUGUUUUCUGGUUGGGCCUUGGGAAUUUGAGGAAGGAAAGAAUUUUGUUUUGAUUUUUUUUAAUUUUUGUAUGAGAAAGAAAAAUAAUGUGAGAAAAGGGUUAGAAUUUUUAAUACAAGAUGAUCUCUAAAUAGUUGAUAGAUUUUGUAAAUAAAAGUUAUAUUUUGUAAAUAAAAAAUAAUGCUAGUAUGUUUUGUAAUAUUUACUCUUAAGUUGUAUAUUUAUGUGAUUUUAAUUAGUAUAAAAGUGUAUCAACUGGGUAUAGAGUCUGCAUGCGACCGGCGGGCCAAAUGACUAAAAAUCAAAAUUAAAUUGGACCGACUGGCUCCAAUUGUCCAACUUUUAAAAUUGCUGGUCAUUUCUUUUCAAAAUGGUCAGCCCAUGUCCUUUUUCCUUAAAAAUAUGAUUGACUAUCUAAAUUAUAUUUGUGCCACAUAAAUUCAGAGGUAGUUUUGGUGUUUUAUAGUUUGUACGUUUUAAUAUUUUAAUUUAGUAGUUUGUUGAUCCAAAUGAUGUUUUCAUAUUUAACAUGUUUUGAAAAUUUAGUACUUUAUUUAUUUUAUUUUGGUAAAAUAUUAUAUAUUUAAAAAUUAUUCAAAAAAAAUAAUUAUUAGUCAUAACUAUUAACUUCUUAUAAUAUUUUAAAAACAUAUAGUAAAAAAUAUGAUUGACUUUUGAAAUUCUAAUAGUGUCACAUAAGUUGUGAUAAAGCAACAUAAAUUAUUUGGAAUUAUAUUAAAAGAUACUACAAAUCACAACAAUUACCAACUUAAAAUAUUUAAAAAAUAUAUUAGUAAAAAUUUUACUAUAUCUUUAAAUUCUAAAAUUUGGACAAAGCGAGUAACAUAACUUGUUUGAUAAUUACAUAAAAGGUCCUAUAAAUCACAAUUAUUAACAACUUAAAUUAUUUAAAAAUUUAUAUUAAUAAAAAUUUGAUUGACACUCUAAAUGUUAUUUGUGCUACAUAAAUUGAGAUAACGCAAAUAACAUAUGUUGGGCCCGUGUGUGGCUAAAUCAUCUAGUAUAAAUAUAAGAUCACUAAUUCAAUCUUGCACAUAAAAAAAGUCCCUCACAAAUAUAUAUAUAUAUAUAUUGCUGUUCUCAGAUUCAUAAAUUGCUCCAUCACUUAGCUAAGAUUUGAGGAUUUGAAAUGUCCACUUGACUUAUAUCACACAACAACGUCUUAUUAAUGUUAUUGAGCACAUUUCUACACUAUUAGUAUAGUUAUUAUUAGAUUAGCCAGUACCAAAUUGGGCUCGUGAAACACAAUAUUAUUAUAUCAAAGAGGAGAUUUUAUCUGUAAUAUCAAAGAGGAGAUUUUAUCAAUUUACAGAUGUGUUCAAAGGAAAAUAUUUUAGACAAUAUUUUUUGAUCUUUAAACUUAUUAGUAAAAAAAAAUAUAUUUCAAAAGCAUUAAUAUACGGUCUAAACCGGGGAAAAGAGCCAAAUUUACUCCCUCACUUUGAAAAGUUAGGCUAAAUAUACCCUUCCCUUAUAUUUUGAGGCCAAAUUUACCCAUAACCUUAUACUUUGAGGUUAAAUUUACCCUUACUAUUAAGAAGCUUUUUACAUGUACCCUUCAUUUAACAGAAAGUUCAAAUCAACAUUAAAUGCCUCAUUUUUAAAAAUAAAAUACCCCCUAAUCUCCCCCAUCCCCUCACCCGACCCGACUUGACCCAUAAAAAUAUCCCUCUCCCAGUUCUGUUGGUCGAAUAUUCCCAAUGAAAUUAGGUCACUAGGUAUUUAUCAAUGCAUAACUCAUGAAAAAUGGAUCUGCAUUAGUGCAGACACAAACAAAUAUGCUCCUCCCUUAGUUCAUGGAUCUGCAUCAGUGCAGAGCUCAUGAAAAUGAUACUUAACAGUCAUAUGCAAUAGAUUAGGCUCACUAGAUAUUUCUCUGGACGAUUGAGUUAAGGGUCCUCCUUAUGUGUCAAUCAUGACAUCUCUUCAUUCUUAUGUCUUUAUAUACAAUUUGGAUCGACUAAAAUUUUUCAUCAUACCACUUGCUCAAAAAACUUAUCCAUUGAUUAUAGAAUAUAGAUGCACAUAGAAUUGCAUACCAAAUUUUAAAAAUUGAGCAUAACUUAAAUAGGAGCAAAGUCUAUACUAGAUAUUUUUUCUAGUUCCAUGCUUCUGUGUUAUCUCAUUUCAUUUUGCUUUUUGUUCAUUUGUAACAAUAUACUAGCGUUGCACGUUGAAACAAAAGUAUAUUUGCUCAUUAGAAAAAUUCGACCAACGAAACUGAGGGAGGAGUAUGUUUGUUUGUGUAUCUUUUGUGGGUCGGGUCUAAUUGAGGAGGUUGAAUUAGAAUGUGUUUUAUUUUUAAAAAAUAAAAUAUUUAAGGAUAAACAACAUAAAUUCCAACACUUUGCUACCUAAUUACCCUCUCUCCAACUUUUAUAUUAAUUACUUAAUAUCCUGGAUAUGAUACAUAAAUUUGGUCCGGAUACAUAACCGAUAGAUACAUAACUACCAAAUUAAUUGACUAUAAAAAGGGAAAAUAACAGUAAAAGAGUAAAUAACGGAACAAUUAAUGCAAUUCUAAUUGAGAUAUCUCUCUUAAUCCCUAAAAAUUAGUAACAGAUUCAUAUUCAAAUUUGAAUCACCAAAAUAAUCUCCCUCAAUCAAAAUUCUCCCAGUUCUUUCUAUCUCUAUUAUUUUUUUGGUGGAUCUUCAUUGUCGCUGGCAUAUCCUUUUCUAGCCUUGACGAUGCCAUACUUCCAUAAGAAUAUUGCGUAUCUCUUUUGAUGAUAUUCUGCAUCAAAAUCAGAUGAAGGAAUCAAACCAUCAUUAAGAAACUCAGCAAAACCUAUUACAAGAUCUCCAGAGUGCCUAAAUAUGUCUGGUACUUACUAAUUUGAAUGGAUCAGAUGAAAAAACAAUACAAAUCAACUUCAACAUUGACUAUAUGUAUCAGAAGUAAUGAUAUAUUUCAUACUUAUAUAUCAUACUCAUAAUGUUUAAUGUAUCAGGUGUAAAACAAACUAAAACUCACAUACAAUUUUUAGAAUAUAUCAUAUAAAUCUAAAAUCUCGACAAAAUUAGAUUUUAGUAGAAAAUCUCGACAAAAUUAGAUUUUUAGUAUAUUACUUGUAUCAAGUAUAAAACUGAACCAUAAUCACAUAUAUGUUAUAUUAUGUAUCAUAAAGCAUGCAAGGACUCAUUAACAUUGACUAUAUGUAUCAGACACAAUUUAUUACAUGUGUCAUAUCUAUAAAGAAACAAAAUCACACGUAAAAUUUAUGAUGUAUCAGAACGUAUGCAUUGUCAUGAAAAUUGAUUUUUUGUAGCUUACUUCUUCCUCUUUAUAGAUGCAAUAAUCGAUAACUUCUUCAUCAUAGCCGGAUCAUUUUGAUAUUUCAAUCUAUUUUCACGAAAAUCAAUGUUGUUCAUAUCAUAAUGAAAUGGUGGAAAUUAAAAAAGAAAGUUAAUAGUGGAAAGAUGGAGUUGUUAGAUCUAAUUGAGUAGUAGAUGAGAACAUGAUGGAAAUUCAAAAGAAAGUUAAUGAAAGUUGUAACUUGAAUGUUGAAGUAGAAUAUGAAGAUGAGAACAUGGUGGAAAUUCAAAAUGGGUGAGCUGAGAAAAUCGUGGAAUAUAUUUCUUGAUUUUUGGGCUUGAUCUGUGGCACACACAAUUAGGGAUUGUGGGUGAAUUUUUUUAAAUGUAUCAGAAAAGAGACAACUAUUUUGAGUAUAAAGGGAUGUUUGUAAUUAGUUUAGUUGGAUGAGAUUUUAAGUAAUAAUAGAAAUUUAAGGUGUGGUUAUAAGUAAUUUAUCCAAUUUUAACAUUGAUUUGAGCUUCUCCAUUAAAAGAAGGAUUUCAGAAAAAAGUUUCUUAAUAAUGAGGAUAAUUUGGCCCCAAAGUAUGACAUCAAAAAUAAAUUUGACCCUAAAGUACGAUAAAAGAUAUAUUUAGUUAAUUUUUAAAGUAAAGGGAUAAAUUUAAUCUUUUUUUCCUCUAAACAAAUACUAUGAGAUAUGGGGGUGAGAUAGAGGUGUAGAGCUGGUGGGAUGAGACUAGUGGGGUUGGGUUAAAACAAGGUGUGUUAAGCGGAUAGGAAGGACUUAAUCAAUAUGGAGUGAUAUGUGUUGAACUUGUUUUUCCUGAUUUCAUUAGAAAAUUCAUUUUCUUUAUUUUUUAAAAAACUUAGUAGGCAUUUGGUCAUGUUUCAUUGUAUGAAUGGAAAAAAGUUAUUUUCAAAGUGAACAAAUGAUAUUUGAAAAUUAGAGUUGUGUUUGACCAUGAAUUAAAUUAGAAAUAGUUUUUGCAUUUUUGUUGUAAUUUGAAUAAAAAAAGUGAAAACAAGUUUUCGUUGUUUUAGAGAUAUUUGAUAAUUCUUGAAAAAAGUAGAAAAUGUAAAACCACAAAAUUUCAUAAUUUUGUAGCCAAACAUGGUUUCCAGAGUUCCAUUCUGCAAAAAAUAAAAUAAAAAAUUCUUGGCCAAACGGACCCUUAUUUUUCUAAGAAAAAUAAUUUUCAAGAAUUAACCAAUCGAACAUGAGAUAAUUGAAAAGUAUUUUGUAAAAGAUAUUUUUGUCAUACCGAUCACCCAAUCUGUGACACCCCUGAAUAGAUGUAAAACUAUUUCUUAUGGCAUUUUCGAAAUGAAAAAUAAAACUUAAACAUAGUCUUUUACUAUUUUUUUUUUUGUUUUUUUUGGUUUCCCAAGUAUCUCCACAACCGGCAGUCAUGAGACUAAUCCUCCAUUCCUACUGUCAGCUCACUAAAACGGUAGGGAACUGGUCAAAGAGUUUCUUCCAUUCACGAGAGGUGGAGAUCAAACCCCCAACCUCUUGCUUAAGGGGUGAGGUGCUGACCCACCACACCAACCCUUGUGGUUGUCUUUUACUAGUUACAAACAACUAAUUAGAACAUGUAUAUAGUUGGAUUACCAAAAGCUUUCUAGAAUUUGUUGCUAUAAAAAUAAAUUUAUCUCAUGUUCACAAAGGAAAAGGCUCUCCACGGCUCAAAGCGAAUAGGCUGGCAGUCUUGAAGCGAAGGAGAAUUCGCAUGAGCGUGUGUGUAUAUAUAUAUAUAUAUUAUUUAUAUUUAUAUAUAUAAUAAAGAAGUGCUUUUUAACAAUUUGAGGAUGUGUUCGGUUCAAACGAAAAUAUAUUCUUUUGUUAUGAAAAUAUUUUUUAAAAAAAUAAGUAGGUUUCUUAUGUAUUUAUAAUGAAAACAAUUAUUAUGAGGGAUGGAGACUAUCGGGUGAGGUGUAUUUGAGGAUGGACAAAACGCAUAGUUUAUUAGUAGGAACCUAUAUCAUAAUAGGUAGGAAAUUAUGACAAGAUUCAUUAUUUUUUCAAAUAUCAUUUAGCCAGUUUACUUUGUAUUUCUAAAUAUUUGAGCCAGUUUUAUUUUACAAAUAAAAUAACCUUGUCGUUAUCAACAAUUGUUUGUCUCCUGCUAUAUAAAGAGCACAUUCCUCAACUUAUGUUGGAAAAAGCACAAACAAGUGUAGUUCCAAUAUGGGAACACCAUCAAAGUUGGGGCAAUGUCCCCUUCUUGUUUAUGCUUUUGCAUUUUGCUUGAUAGCCACUGGCGUAGCGGCUGAUUAUGAGCCUCACAUUCAUGAUUCAUCAUCUUUGUCACACCGUUAUAAGUCCCGAAUGCCUCCGCCACCUUCUCCGCCACGUCCUUACUAUUAUAAAUCACCUCGAUAUCGAAUCCGUGUACCUUAUCCAUAUUACUACAAAUCUCCACGACAACCAAUCCGUUAUCCUUAUCCAUAUCAUUACAAAUCUCCGCCACCGCCUCCUCCAUCUCCUCGAAAACCUUAUCACCGUAAAUCACCACCACCACCACCACCAAUUCGUUCUCCUCGUCCAUAUUAUUACAAAUCUCCACCACCGCCUUCUCCAUCUCCUCGGACACCUUAUUACCGUAAAUCACCACCACCACCACCAAUUCGUUCUCCUCGUCCCUAUUAUUACAAAUCUCCACCACCACCUUCUCCAUCUCCUCGAACACCUUAUUACCGUAAAUCACCACCACCACCGCCACUAAUUCGUUCUCCUCAUCCAUAUUAUUAUAAAUCUCCACCACCGCCUUCUCCAUCUCCCCCGCCACCUUAUUUCCCUAAAUCACCACCACCACCAAUCCAUUCUCCUCAUCCAUAUAAGUCUCCACCACCACCUUCUCCAUCUCCACCUCCACCUUAUUACACUACAUCACCACCACUACCAAUCAUUUCUCCUCCACCGCCAUAUUAUCACAAAUCUCCACCACCGCCUUCUCCAUCUGCACCGCCUCCAUCUCCAUCUUCAUUGCCGUCACCUUCGAUUACACCUAUCGCUGAACCAUUUCCAUCUCCGAUGGUGCCACCACCAUUGACUACACCUAUUUCUGAACCAUCUCCAUCUCCAUCUCCAUCUCCAUCUCCAUCUCCAUCUCCAUCUCCAUCUCCAUCCCUGCUAGCACCGUCGAUUACACCUAUCGCUGAACCAUUCCCAUCUCCAUUUCCGCUAGCACCAUCGACAACCCCUAUUGUUGAACCCUUUCCAUCUCCAUUGCCGCCAAUUGCUGAACCAUUUCCGUCACUAUCGCCUUCACCAUCACCAAUUACACCUAUCGCUGAACCAUUCCCAUCUCCAUUUUCUCUAGCACCAUCGACAACCCCUAUUGUUGAACCCUUUCCAUCUCCAUUGCCACCAAUUGCUGAACCAUUUCCAUCACUAUCGCCUCUACCAUCACCAAUUACACCUAUCGCUGAACCAUUCCCAUCUCCAUUUCCGCUAGCACCAUCGACAACCCCUAUUGUUGAACCCUUUCCAUCUCCAUUGCCACCAAUUGCUGGACCAUUUCCAUCGCUAUCGCCUCCACAAUCACCAAUUACACCUACCACUCAACCAUUUCCAUCUUUAUCUCCUCCUUCACCAUUAAUUGCACCUACUGAUGAACCAUUUCCAUCUCCAUUGCCGCCUGCAUCUCCUCCUUUGUCUCUACCUAUUUCUCCAUCUCCACCACCUCCAAUAAAGACCCCCCUUCCUCCAUUGGUGUCUCCACCUCCACCAUGCUACACUAAAUAUCCUCCCCCACCAUCUUUGUUCCAUCUUCCACUACCACUUCCCUUUAAUCGACCUCCACUUCCACCAUCUAAUUGUAUGCCUCCCCCACCAUCUCCACUAUGUAAUAAUAAAUCUCCACCCCCACCAUCUUUUUUCCAUAUUUCUCUACCUUUUCCCUUUAGUCGACCUCCACCUCCAUCAUCGAAUUGUAUCUCUCCUCCACCACCAUAUCCAUUAAAGUCUCCACCUCCACCUCCACCUCCACCACCUCCUUCUCCAUCUCCCCCACCUCUAAUAAAGCCUCCGCCUCCUCCUUCAAAGUCUCCACCUCCACCACCACCUUCUCCAUCUCCCCCACCUCCAAUAAAGCCUCCGCCUCCUCCUUCAAAGUUUCCAUCUCCCCCACCUCCAAUAAAGCCUCCGCCUCCUCCUUCAAAGUUUCCAUCUCCCCCACCUCCAAUAAAACAUCCGCCUCCUCCAUCAAAGUCUUCACCUCCACCACCUUCUUCAUCUCUUCCACCUCUAAUAAAGUCUCCGCCCCCACCAUCAAUAUCUCCACCUCGACCACCUUCGGUAAAUUCCCCACCUCCCCCAUCAAAGUCUCCACCUCCACCUCUCGUAAAGUCCCCGCCUCCACCAAAGUCUUUACCUCUUUCACCACAGCCACCUUCUCCAUCUCCCCCACCUCCGAUAAAGCUUCUGCCUCCCCCACCCCCACCUUUAGUAAAGUCUCCACCUCCUCCACCUUCGAUAAAGUCUCCACCUCCUCCAUUUUCAAUAGUUCUUCCACCAUUGCCACGAAUACCUCUUCCACGCCUACCCCCAUUGCUACAAAUACCUCUUCCACGCCCACGUAUGCCUUUUCAUCAAGCACCCUAGAGCCACAACUCGCCUCCACUACUAUUGAAAUUUCAUGGUUAUCAAUAUACAUCCUCCUCCUCCGUCACAUAAAAAAAAGUUUA
RNAcentral lists this long non-coding RNA (57131 nucleotides) under Capsicum annuum. RNAcentral describes it as "long non-coding RNA (CANN_LNC021407)". The record is from RNAcentral. Lineage: Eukaryota; Viridiplantae; Streptophyta; Magnoliopsida; Solanales; Solanaceae.